Xyrichtys novacula (pearly razorfish) is the source of this 55438-nucleotide non-coding RNA. NCBI's taxonomy places the organism in Eukaryota, Metazoa, Chordata, Actinopteri, Labriformes, Labridae. The record is from the annotation of a GenBank genome assembly.
CUGAAAUGCAGUGAGAUGUGCUGGUUUUCUACAAUUAAACUAAAAAUCUCUUGUCUCUAUUUUUCCAUUUUCCUUUUUGCCAACUCUGUCCUGUCUCCAAGUGCAGACCGCUUUGUGGCGACUCGACGUAAGUUCACACAGGAAUGACACUUUCAUGAAUAAGACAGUGUGCCAUUAUUCAACACAUUAUGGACCCCUCAUCAUGUCCUAACUUAACAAUUUGUUUCCUUUGAUUAUGUAAUACUCACAGUUGGAAAUGAACAGCUUGAAUGUAAUAUGCAGUACACUUAUUUGCAUUUCAUUUCCAAUCCCUGGAAAGCAAUUUAUUACUAUUAGAUUGUGGAGUUGGAAUUUUUUAACGAUGAAAAUCCAAAUAAUUACUAAUUGAAUGUGAUUCCCUCCUUUGUACAUCUCUCAUAUUUAAAAAAACAAGCAAAUUUAAUGUUCUUUAAUAUGGAAUAGACAAUCAUUAUUUAUGCAGCCAUUGAUUUAUUUUAUUAUUUAUUUAAUCCUAUGUUUAGAUAUGUGUAUAUCCUUCUAAGGUACCUUGCAUGCUUCUGUUUACAGCUCAUGGAGGUGCUUGGCCUCAUUACUACUUUUUACAUUGUUGGAAUACUUAAAACACAGUAAAGGAAAUUACCUUCUCCAAAAUACAUAAUAUUUUAUCAGCAGAGUAAUCCAUUGUUACUUUUGCUUACCAGGACAUGGUUAUGAACAUUAUAAAGGGAACUUAAAGUACUUAAAGAGUCUAAAAUACACAGGGAUAAUAGAACUUUUUGUAAAAUACUUUGAGAUCCUAAAUUUAAAAAGGUGGCUCUGUGGUUGGAUUCAAGUUUGACUCACUGGAGGAUGUGGUGGAGAGAUGUACUGUGAGGAAGGUGGAGGCUAUUCUAGAGAACAUGGCUCACCCACUUCACAACACCUUGGUGGACCGAAAGGCCUAUGGUGGUGGACGGCUCCUCUGUCUUCGCUGCAGGGAAAAAAGAUUCAAAAGAUCUUUUGUACCCACAGCCAUGAGACUCUACAAUUUAAAUAGUAGAUGACUUAUACAGACGUGACAAAUGAGACUAUAGACAAUUGAAUUUCCCUUAGGGGAUAAAUAAAGUUCUUCGUAUCUUAAAUUAAUUUUUGAUCAACUAUAAUGAACACUUUGGAUUUUUAGUCCUUAUUUGUUUGAAGGGUUAUCGAACAAGACAAUGGUCACUUCCAGCUUUUGACUCAACUUGACUUUUGAAAGAUGUAUAAUUGAGGACAGCCACUUGAUGGGUUGAGUAAAAGUACAUUAUGAUGCCAUUAGCUUUGGGUGGAUGUUGGUUUAUUUUAUUUUAUUUCUUUAAUAAAAAGGGAUUAAUGUUUGUUUCCAUUUUGUCUUACAGGUAUCCUGUCCAGUCUCCCCACUCUCCCCUAUCAUUUUGAUCGCUCUGUCUUUCCUGUCUCCUCUACCACUCUGUCUGAUUGAAAAGCACUCUGUCUUGUGUCCCCCUUUCUUCUAUCCCUCUGGCUAAGUUUUGGACGCUCUGUCUUUCCUGUCUCCUCUACCACUCUGUCUGAUUGAAAAGCAACUCUGUCUUUCUAUCCCCCUUCUAUCCCACUCUGACUCAUUGCAGAACUUUUCAGAACUUUGCAGAACUUUUCAGAACAUUUCAGAACAUUUCAGAACUUUGCAGAACUUUUCAGAACUUUUCAGAACUUUGCAGAACUUUUCAGAACUUUGCAGAACUUUUCAGAACUUUGCAGAACAUUUGAGAACCUAUUUUGAGAACCUAUUUUGAGAACCUAUUUUGAGAAACCUUUUGAAACAAGCAACCUUUCUUUGAGUCAAAACUUUUGAAACGGAAGUACAUUUAAUACAACCGCUAUUUUGAAAAAUCCCUAAUUUUGCACAAGUCUGAUUGUUGUUCUAGGUCCUCCUCUCCUGUCUGUGAAUCCAGAGUUUCGCCAGAAGACGUGUCGUCAGCUACACCACAUCUGCAUACCUGACUUUGAAAGAACAUAAAAACACGUUUUAUAUAGAAUAUUUGAGUUGCAUAGUAUUUCAAACACAAAGUUCUAAGAUUAAAAAAUUGUUGAUUUGUGUUUUUUCUUCAAACAUUUACAUAGUCUUGCCUAGGAUUUCCUUAGAAAACAUUUGAUAAACUAUUGUUGGUAUACACACAGUUAUAAAUUAGAUUUUUUGGAGACUAUAAGAGCUGUAAAUAACGUCCUCUUGAAGAAAUAAAGCAUUUUUGUCUAUACUGGUGCUUAUCAGUAACUUUUAAUUGUUGCAUAAACACAUUUUUGUGAAAGAACAGUUACAAUGCCAAGGAAGAGUAAGAGGUCACAGGUUGCAAGCCAGCGCUGGCAGAGGUUUCAUGACAUUGACUUUGUGAGUACUGGACAAGCAGAUGGUAUUCCUCAGAGCAGUGGAGAGGUAAAGAGGUCUGAAGUGUCUGAUGCUGUGAAACAGGGAGGUGAAAAUGCAUCAUGUCAACCACAGGUAUCUUAUGCAGACGUGCUUAAGAGGAGACGUGUAAGUGAGUCACCUGCAGCAGGUCCUUCUAACUCUCAUCAGGUGAACUACAUAGCCCAAACUGAAAAGCCAUGCUCAACCCAGGUAUCACGUGCAGACACUGUUAAGAAGGGAAACCACAGUAAUUAUCAGUCUGUAUCAGGCUCUUCUCAGGUAAGAAAUGAGAACGCUGUUAAUCAGUCAGGUGAACAAAACGUCUGUGCGUCACGCAGCCAAGCAUCUCUGAAAUACGGCCAAUCCAGGAACCAGCAGUGCACUUGUAAUUCACUGACAUUUCUAGCAUUCCUGUAUGAGAGAGAACACAUCACCAGAGCAGAUCUGGACCGUGUUUUGGAUAAAGGUGAUGUGAUGUACAGAGAAGUCAGGAAAACUGUUCGUGAUCACAUCCAUCUGACAACCGAUGAGCUCCCUAAAGAGGUUCCUGCACGCAGACACACGCAGAUUUUUGACAAGUCACAGCUGUCUAGAUACGGUACGUUUGGAGAUCCGGAUCCCGGUGCUGUUGAUACCUUUCUGGACCUCGUUUCAGGACUGAGCUGCUUAUUAUCAGAUGUGCAGUAUGCUUUGCUGCUAAUGACUUCACUGUGCAUUGCAGUUUUCAGAACCAGAGAUGGCAGGUACGGUUUCUUUGACCCACAUGCUAGGACAGCUAACGGUUUGCCUCUGCUUAAAGCCACACCUACUCCUGGUACCGCUGUCAUGGUAACAUUCACACGCCUUAGUGACAUGAUUGCCAGGCUCAUCAGGUAUCACCACAUAUUGGGCACAGCAGCGUCCUGUACCUAUGAGCUCAAGCCAGUUGUGUUCGGUGAUGUGAACCCAAGUGAUGCUAUCCCAGCCACAGAAAGUCCGUCCACAAGUCCCUCUGUAACAACCACUGUGAUAAAUGAUGACACAAGUGCUCCACAGAUGAACACUGAUGUCCAUGAAAACACUGAAUGCGACAUGGAAACUGAACCAGAACCACUGAUCGACUUCAGCCAGUGUUCUGUCACAUUAACUGGUCCUGAAUCUCUCGUUCUGGAGAUGAACACUACUGUAAGUGAUGACACAUCACAGAAAGUCUCAACUUUGAUGGAAACACAAGCUCAUCAACCAGGUCAAAUCAGCAUGAAUUCUGUCAAAGAGGAAACUCAGGAGACACAAUCAAAUUUGACACAACCAUUUAUAACUAUCCCUGUCACCAGUGAUAAUGUCCUCCAUGACAUUUCUAGUAAACUGUCAAAAUUGAACAAACAGCAAAAAAAGAAAUUUAAGAGGAGACUAAUGAGAUCUGGAAAGACAUCUCAAAAGAAAGAGAAUCAAAAAAGGAGAGAGAGAGAAAAGUAUGCUAAGAAUGAAACAUAUAAAGCAAAGAAAAAGUCUUAUUCAAGUAACAAAUAUUCUGUAAAUCCUGAGAUACAGACAAAGAAAAGACAAAAGAUCACAUCUAAAUAUAGAGAAAGCACAGACUACAGACUGAAACAAAAAGAAUAUAUCACACGAAAAUACAGGGAAAAUGUUGAUUUUAAAGGCAGACAAAAGUUAUAUUUCAGGAAAAAAUAUGGAGAAAAUAUUGAUUUUAGAGGCAGACGAAAAGAAUAUUUCACGAAAAAAUACAGAGAAAAUGUUGAUUUUAAAGGCAGACAAAAAGAAUAUAUCAGGAAAAAAUACUCAGAGGAUGUUAAUUUCAGGCAAAGACAGCGAUUAUAUAUCAAUCAUCGAUAUGCAAAUGAUGAAAUAUUCCGUAACCGACACAGACAGCUGAUGAGACAAAUGAUGCGAGACAGGUACAAGACAAAUCUUGCAUACAGAACUAUGCAUAAAAUGAGGUGUGCAUUGAAAAUAUCAAAGAAAUACAAACGGAUAAGUAAACAAACAUGUGAGACUGACAGAGAGAGUGAAAACCCACUUAUUGAAAGUGCCAUAAAUGCUUUCAGAUCACACAUUAAAGCUGGUCCCACCCAUGUUUGCACAGUUUGUCACAAAGCCUCAUUUCCAAACCAGGUGCAAAAGUGCAAGAGGUCCAACUAUGUGAAAAAUCCAAUAAUGGUUUCAGCUUGUCUCAAAGGUCAGUACGUCCAUGAUUGUAACGAUGACUGCAGAAAUCACUGCACUGUCCCUGAUGAGAGAAAGACUGAGUGGAUUUGUCACACCUGCCAUGACCAUCUGAAAAAUGGAUCCAUGCCCAAACUUGCCAUAGCAAACAACUUGGAGCUUGCUGACAUACCACCUGAGCUGUGUGACCUCAACAUACUGGAGAGACAUCUGAUAGCAAAGUGCAUAACAUUUGCCAAAAUCAUUCCUCUUCCCAAAGGCAGACAGAGAGCUAUACAUGGUAAUGUUGUAUGUGUUCCCUCUGAAGUCCAGGAAACAAUUCAGGCUCUACCCAGAUUGAGAAAUGAGUCUCAGGUGAUGAGAGUAAAACUGAAGAGACGCUUGAGUUACAGAGGUCACCAUCUGUUUCAGACUGUUACCUGGUCCAAGCUAGUACAGGCCCUGCAUACACUGAAAGAGAUACACCCCCAAUAUGAAGACAUCACUAUUAGAGAUGAGGAGGAGUUAUGUGACCCCACACUUCCUGAUGAUGGUGAUGAGGAUGAGGAUGAGGAUGAGGAUAAUGAUAUUACAAUGAAUGAUGACGACUAUGAUGAUGAGGAUUUGAUGGAAAUUGAUAGAAUUGAGGCUGCUGCCAUGUAUGAGGCUGAAACUAAUGUUGAAAAUGAGGAUGAAAACACAGAGCUGUGUGAUAAAAGUCAGACCCAGGACAAUGAUGAUCAGACACAACAACAGGACGCAGACAUGCAUAAUGGUGGUGUUGUCUUGGAGUCGUGCCUUCAGCCACGUGAUGUUUCUGAGGAGAUAUUGUGUUUCAGUGACUCUACAUACUCAGUAGCUCCAGCAGAGAGAAACAGUCCAGUCAGUUUUUUCAAAACACCCAAACUAGAGGCCAUGGCGUUUCCUGUUCAGUUUCCCACUGGUGAGAAUACACUGGAUGAAAACAGACCCAUGAAAUUAUCACCCAGUAGUUAUUUUAAAGCAAGGCUCUUUGGUGUUGAUGAUCGCUUUGCCAAAGAUACCAACUACCUGUUCUUUGCACAGUUUGUGACUGAAAUACACUUGGCUACCUCCAGCAUGUCAAUACAGUUACGCAAAGGCAAACCUUUGACCAGAGACGGACGUAAAAUAACAUCCAGAAUGUUGAGAGACAAAUACGAAGUGGAGAGACUGGUGAGAAACAGAGAUGCUAUCAGAUUUAUGCAGCCGCUCAGAGGAACACCAGCCUACUGGGACAAAACUACAAAAGAUCUGUUUGCUAUGAUCAGACAGUUGGGCAGUCCUACUUUCUUUGUCACAUUUUCUGCAGCAGAAAUGCGUUGGCCUGAGGUGAUUAUUGCAAUAAAAUCACAACAAGGUGAGGAAGUGAAUUUUGAAGAGCUCGACUGGUCCACAAAGUGUGACAUUCUGAGAAGCAAUCCUGUGACAACGAUGCGCAUGUUUGAUAAGCGUGUUGAAGCACUGUACAGAGAUCUGAUCAUGUCUCCUGCACAACCCCUGGGCAAAGUUUUUGACUUCUUUUGGCGCCUCGAGUUUCAACACAGAGGAAGUCCUCACAUUCAUGGUCUUUUGUGGGUAGAAGGUGCACCUGUGUUUGAGAGAGACUCUGACAAAACUGUGUGUGACUUUGUGUCCAAACACAUCUCUGCUCAGCUCCCUGACCCAAAUAAACAGCCUGAACUGUACAAAAAGGUCAAAGAAGUGCAAAUACACAGUAAGAACCACUCAAAGACAUGUUUCAAAAGUGCAAGUUCUGGAUGCCGAUUUGGAUUCCCAAAACCACCCUCCAGACAGACAAUGAUAACAAGACCUGUGGGUGAUGAUGAGGAGUCAGAGAGACUUAAGAGAGCCAAAGAGAAACUUGCACCACUGAAUCAGCUGCUGAAUGAGACACAAACUGAAUCCAUGAGUUUUCAACAGCUCCUGUCUGUCUGUGACUUAACCGCUGAUGAGUACGAGAAACACAUGAAUGUGAUGAGUCAGUCCAGCAACAUCAUUCUGAAGCGUGAGCCGAAAGACUGCUGGGUAAACACCUACAACCCUCACCUGCUCAAAGCUUGGGAUGCAAACAUUGAUGUGCAGUUCAUUCUCAGCUACUACAGUCUGAUCCAUUACAUAUGUACGUACAUGUGUAAAAGUGAGAACUCUGUGAGCCAGUACCUGCAAACACUCAUUCAGAACUCCGACAGAGAAUGUGUCAAUGAAUGUGAUGAAAUGAAAGCGGUCAUGCAGGCGUAUUCCAAAAAGCGAGAAGUAUCAGCACAAGAAGCUGUUGCCCGGGUGACUUCACUGAACAUGAAAAAGAGUUCACGCAGUGUGGUUUUUGUCCCAACUGAUGACAACCCAGUGAAAAUGAGUCUGCCUGUGUCAAGCCUUGACAACACAACACCAGACAGCUUGAAUGUGUGGAUGACAUCCUUAACAGACAAGUACAAAUCCAGACCUGAAUCACCAGAGUUUGAAGAGAUGUGCAUGGCUGAUUUUGCUUCUACCUGCAGACUGGUGUAUGGACAACAGACCAAGGGCAAGAAAGUGGUACCUUUGCUGAAUGAACUAGGCUUUAUACAGAGACGAGAAAGUGACAACGCUGCUGUCAUCAGGUAUCGCCGCAUAUCCAAAGAGAAAUACCCUGAGCAGUUUUACGGCACAUUGCUUAGACUGUAUCUUCCAUACAGAUCAGACGAUGAGCUGAAAAGACCAUAUUUUCCCACGUAUGAGUCAUUCUAUGAGAGAGGUGUGGUUCAGCUGCCGUAUUCUGACCGACCCCUGAGUGUGAAACUCAUCGUGAAAAGAAACCGAGAGAGAUAUGAAAAAAACAGUGAGGAAAUUGACUCUGCUCUCGAGGACUUUGAACAGAACAGAGGUGUGGUCGAUGAAUGGUGUAAUUUGGCACCUGAAUCUGAACUGGUGAGGUUGGAGUGUAUCGAUGAACUGGAUGCCAGACAGUGUGAAAAUGUCCAAGAGGAUGUACCGGAUUACAGCAGACAAGCAAAUGCUGCUACAGAGGCCAGAGUCAUGAGAGAGCCCCCUACAAUCGAUCCCACACGGUUACGACAAAUGUAUCAGAGUCUGAACCAGAAACAGGCAUGUGUGUUCUAUGCAGUGAGAGACUGGUGCAUAAAACGAGUCUGUGGACAACAACCAGAGCAGUUUUUCUACUACAUCAAUGGUGGUGCUGGCACUGGAAAGUCACAUCUCAUUAAAUGCAUUCAUUCAGAAGCAUCAAAGAUUCUGAGAACACUACCUACACGUGCUGAGGAAGCUGACAUCUCAAACCCGACUGUGCUGUUGACUGCUUUCACCGGAACUGCAGCCUUUAACAUCUCUGGAACAACACUGCACUCUCUUCUCAAGCUGCCCAGAAGUUUGAAACCUCCUUUUCAAGGUCUUGGGAACCAACUUGAUGAAAUCAGGUGUGAGCUUUUAAACGCUGAAAUCAUCAUCAUUGAUGAAAUCUCCAUGGUGUCGAAGCCUCUGUUUGCCUAUGUGGAUGUGAGACUGAAACAGAUUAAAGGCAGCCACAAACCCUUUGGAGGAAUGUCAGUCAUUGCUGUGGGAGACUUUUACCAGCUACCGCCUGUGCGACAGUCCAAACCACUCUGUGUCUAUGAUCCAAGUGAGCUUGACCUCUGGAGAGACAACUUCCAGGUGAUCACUUUAGAUGAGAUCAUGCGACAGAAGGAUGACAAAACUUUUGCCGAGAUGCUGAACAGACUCCGUGUGAAAACAAGGUCAGAUGAGCUUUCUGAAGCUGACAGAGCUCUGCUGUCACAGCGUGUCACUGAACCACAACUGUGUCCCUCUGAUGUGCUGCACAUUUUUGCUACAAACAAACAAGUCGCAGAACACAACUCUGCUACACUAUCUCUGCUCCAUUCUGAUAUCACCACCAUUGAUGCAGAUGACUUUAAAAAAGACCCACACACUGGACACAUGAAAAGACAAGGUGCACCAUGUCAUGGAAGCAGAAAUGAUCUACCUGACACACUAGAUGUUGCAGUAGGUGCUAGAGUCAUGCUUACCAGAAACAUUGAUGUGUCUCAAGGAUUGGUGAACGGAUCAUUUGCUACAGUAGGCCGUCUCAUAAGCUCUGAAAACAACGGUUCUGCUCUUGUCACUAUGCUUGGUCUCAGGAUGGAUGAUGAAACAGCUGGCAGGAGCUAUCGUACUCUAGGAGACAAUCUUGUGUACAUCGAGAGAUCUGAGGAGGCUCUGCAACAGAAAGGAGUGGUACGCAGACAGUUUCCUGUGAAACUUGCCUUUGCAUGCACAAUACACAAGGUUCAAGGUAUGACCAGAAAAUCAACUGUUGUCUCUCUGAAGCACAUUUUUGAGCCCGGCAUGGCCUACGUAGCUAUCAGUCGAGUGACCUCUCUCAGCGGACUGUACAUGCUUGAUUUGGAUGAGAGUAAAAUCCAUGCUAACCCUGCAGUCACUGUAUCUUUGGAGACCAUGACACAAGCUAACUUUGAUCACCUCAUGCCUUUUCUCCAGAUCCAGCAUUCUCUCAGCAGACAGGACACUGUGAGCAUCAUUCAUCACAACACCGAAGGAUUACCUGCUCAUGUGAAUGACAUCAAAAGCCAUCAUGAACUGUGUCUUGCAGAUGUUUUGUGUCUGACAGAAACUCACCUACAGGGCUCCUUUGUGGCAGACAGUCUCCAGUUUGAGGGCUACACCAUGUUCAAACGCAACAGACAUUUGUCCUACACUAACUUUCCACAGAUGGCCAGUAAAGGAGGUGGUGGAGUCGCUGUUUAUGUGAAAAACCAUUUGCAGGUUGUGGAGAAACAGUACCUGAAUAAUGUGACUGACCUCGAGUUUGUGGCUUUGAAGGUUGAAUCUCCUGUAAGUGCUCUGAUUGCAGCUGUGUACAGACCUCCAGACUACAGUGUGUCAUCAUUCCUGUCCAAUCUGGGAAGCCUUCUGGACUCACUUGAGAUCAUGGACUGUCAUCCUAUCAUUGUCUGUGGCGAUUUCAAUGAGAAUCUCUUUUCUAAUGCAAGUAAGCCAAUUUUGGAUUUCUUUCAGUCCAAGGGAUAUGGUCAACUGAUCACUGCUGCUACAACGGACAAGAACACACUGCUGGACCUGAUUUUCUGUUCACGACCUCAGCUAUGUCUCUCCUCAGGUAUUGUGCAGACAUACUACAGUUACCACAACGCCACUUACUGUGUCAUUUCAUCCAACAGGUCAUAGAGGAAACUACUAUUAAGGAAAAGACAAACUACAGAAGCUGUGGCUAAUGUUAUGCUCAUAUUUUCAGUACAGAUUGAAAUGUGUUUGGUCAUUGUAAAUUUUACUAGUGCAAAAAAUAUUUUUAUGGCUCAGAAUUUUUUGAAAGAAAAUAUUUUUCAGGUUGUAAAAUUUUCCAACUAUUCAAAUGUUAUAAAUUACAAUUUUUGGCCUGUGCAUUUAUCAAGUCCAGUCAAGUCAAGUUAAUCCAUUUAACUUGACUUGACUGGACAUAGGGAGGGUGGGUGCGGAUUGAUAAAUGCACAGGCCAAAACUCUCAGCUGCUGUGUACAAUACUGUAUACAGCAGCUAAAAUUAAAAACCUCCAUCAGAAAGUGUGUGUUCCCUAAUGAACACACACUUUCUGAUGUUCUGUUACCUACCAGCUGAAACCCCCUUUUCUCCACCCAACUUUACACCACUCUCUUAGCAUGGGUGGCUGUAAGUACACUAGAGCAAUUCUAAGUUUCCUUUUCUUUGGGUAGGUUUUUAUUUUAAAUUUUUUAUUAUUACUAUUAUUUUUUUUUUUCAGUUGUCCCCGUCAUCUUUAACCUGACCCCCAUUAGUACUAUCCUGACUAGCUCACUGUAAACUGAAAAAAAUUAUCAAACUGUCAACCAAAAGUAAACACAUCACCUGUGGAUGCAGUAGAGUAAAGCUAAGUUUCCUUUUGUUUGGGUAUUUUUUUUUUCUUCUUCAGUUGUCUCUGCCAUCUUUGUCCUGACCAUUAGUGCUGUCCUGAUUAGCUCACUUAUGAGCAGAAAAAAAUUAUCAAACCGUCAACCAGAAGUAAACACAUCACUUUGGACCACUCAAAGACACAGUCUACCUGCUGUUUAACCCAGUCUUUGGUCAGAGGUGAAGAAGAGAUGACAUCCUCCACACCAUCCUCCUGCUGCUCUCAACAACCAUCAUCGCUGUGCUGGACAGACUGCAGCACCCACCGGGACCCUUCUCUCAUGGACUACACAAACAUGUGUUUUACCUGCUUGUGCCCCAGAUGUCCUGAAGCAGCUCUCAAGGACCACCAGACAUCAGGCUGAAGCAGAACUGAUGCUGUAGUACCUGUCACUCACUGGGCUCGUUCCUGCUGAACCUCCAAGAAAUAAACCCCUCUUCAAGAAAGUCUGAGGUAAUGUCUUGGUGAACUUGUGUUCAUUUAUUUUUUCUUAGUUAUCUUAGCUGCUGUAUUAAUGCUUGUGAUGCUAUUGUACAGCUCUGCUGAUACCAUCGUCUUUAACAGCAGUGUUUUCUCCCAGGUCUUCUUCUUAAAGCCAGUUAAGAGAGGAAGAACAGCUUAGACACUCAGACAGCUGAACACACCAAAGGUGGACAUCAUGCAGCCACCCUGAGCCUUGACCCUCUCUGUGUGAGGAAGCUUUGCUGCUGCAGACCUGGUGAAGUUGCUCUGCUGCAGUGCUGAAGGUAUUCAUUGUAAUGAUGUGUGUAUUUAUUCAACAUGUUUAGUUUCACAGAUUAUCAACACAAAUGUUUCUGUUUAUUUCCUGUUUUGAACCAGCUACAUUCUCCUACUUCAAGUCACUGUCUGUUCAUCCACGGUGUAGCAAGUGCAGCUAACUAAUGGUGAUCCUACAAUCAAUUGUAUUGAUUACAGAGUUAAAGUGAAGGGGAUUUUGUUUGUUUUUUUCAGACCUCUCCUCCUCCUGCCCCUGACUCCAGUGAUGCUGUCAACUCGAACACUGAUAACUGCACACAGUGAUUCUACAACCACAGGUCAAAGGUCAAAACAUUACCUCACUCAAAACCUUUACUCUGAACUGUACCGGGCUCGGCUUUUGGUUUUGAAAAAAUGUGCCCAGACAGAACACAGUACUCACUUGAGGAACUGACUGAUUGUCUUCAGGACAGGACAACUAUUACUCUUAUAUUGUUUUGAAUCCUGUUUUCUACAUUAAGUGAUCGGUUGUCGAUAUCUGUUAAUAUUUUAAGUUUCCUUUAUGUUUCUUGGACUUUAUUUGUUCUAUCUUAUUUUAGUAUUUUCUUUCCCUUUUACUGUGUAUCUGUCCUUAUAUCAAAAGAUGACCAACACUGAUGAACGGAAAAGUUGUUGCAGGCAGCUGAAUUUCUCGUUUUAAUAUGCUCACCAUAGCCCUCAAAUUUACCUACAAGAGAAGAUGUGUUUUUAGAAAUAAAUGAUGUACUUUGGGUUUCAGCUGGUAGGUACACUGCAGGUUUUUCACGUGUGCUUAGUCUUGGGCUAAUGUUUUGGACAGCAGUGAUCCCAGCAUUACAGUGUGAAACAAUCCCUGCUGAAGGUUGUCGUCACAAUCAUCAAACACAGGGCUUGGUUAAACGAACUGUGUGAAGGGAUUACAUAGAGGAACAAAGUUCCCAACCCAGCAUUUCAGCAAGACAGAGUAGUGUGAAUGUUUGGAUAAGAAAACACUGGGAUCUAAAAUGCUGACCAGAUUGUCAGUCCACUACAAUGAGCUGAUGACAGUAUUAGCCUUGGUCUAACUACUGUGAAAAGCCUUUUGGGUGGUAAGGUGGACCAAUACAUGCUAUAAAAAAUACUUCAGUGCCAUAUUUAAGUUUUUAACCUUUCACCUUACUUUGCCUGUAUAUUUCGGCAAGCCUGGAGGACUGGAUCUUUUGCAUUUGCAUUCUUUUCCUUACCAUCCACAUUAUUUUAAAUUUUUAAUUUAGAUUUAAUUAAAAAUAUAUAUAUAUUAAUUUCUGUAAAAUACUUCUGUACCACACUGUACAGUAAACUGCUGAGUUAUUUUUGCAAACAAAUGAGCAGAUGACAAUGAGCUGAUGACAGUAAUAGCCUUGGUCUACUGUGAAAAGCCUUUUGGUGCUAAGGUGGACCAAUACAUUACAUCAAUUUAUUUCAAGUUCCCAAAUCUACUUUUUAAUCUGAUCAUUUUAGAUUUUGUUUAAAGUUUCAGUUUCAUAUCAUUUAAUUUUAUUUAUUAUUAUAAUUAUUUAUUAUUCUAUAAUUUUCUUUUUUUCUACAACAGACAGCCCACAUUUCACUGCAGUUAGCUUUAAAAAAUACUAUAAUGCCAUAUUUAAUUCAUAAGCCUUACACCUUACUUUGCCUGUAUAUUUCAACAAGCUUGGAUAACUUUGCAUUAUUUGUAUUUGCAUUCUUUACCUUACCCUUCACAUUAUUUUAAAUUUUAAUUCAAAUUAAUUUUUAUUUUUUAAUUUUAACUUCUGUAAAAUACUUCUGUACUACACUGUACAGUAAACUGCCGACUUAUUUUUGCAUACUAUUCCUCAUGUUCCAUUUUAUACUUUUUGUGAUUCACAUUUAUGUUGUUAUACUGCUGACCGAUUGUAGUAACUAUUUUUUUUAUAACUCUCAAGUCACCAUUUUCAUAUUUUUUUUAAUUGAAUAGGUAUAAAGGUUUUUCAGAUGUGCAAACUUAGUCUUAGGCUAAUCUAAACCCUUAAAAACACACAUAACAGUCCUGUAUCAGACUUUGAAAUCAAAUUUCAAGGUCUGUUUUUAAAGCCCACAACACAGGACUUGGCUCAAUGGGCCAUGACAAAUUUUAUGAGCCAACUUUUGUUAAGGCUUAGUAAUCCGAAAACACAAGAAAAGAGGUGAAUGUGGGUACAGGGCUGCUGGAGUUUGAAUCCAGUAAAUAAUGGGGUGUUAGCCUCAGUCUAACAACUGUGUGAAGAGCCUGUAAUGAUUGGGCUAAACAAUUUUAGAAACAACUGAAAAUGUGAUACCUUUGUCCAUCAACAAUCACAGCAACGACAAUCUUAAAACCUUAAGCUUAAGAGACAGAUUGGUCACCCAUGUAAAGAUUUCUGCUUCCAAUACCUGUUCACAAACAAAUUGUUUAUAAUUUGAUUUAAGGCACUAUGGAACACUGUUUCUUUAUGUGUUUAUGUUUUUGUUUUUUUAUUUUAUUUAUUUUUUUUAAUGUUUUAUGAUUAAUCAUUUCAUUGCUCAAAAAAUGUUAAAGGAUUGACAAUAUUAUUUUUCUUAAACAUAUAUAUUUAAAUUAAACAUAUUUGUGUAAUGUGUUCAUUUCUCAUCUACAUUCAUUUCUACUUCUUCCAACAUGAAGGCCUUUUCAGCCAUCUUUAAAAUUCUUUACCAUAUUUCCUGUAAUGUUCAAGAUCAGUUCUUUAGCAAUUUGAAUAUUCAUACAGCUACUGGUUUACCUCUCCCAGUGUUUUUACAUCCAUACAACUCAUCUCUUUUUCAUCAUCUUCUUCUUCAGUUCUGUUACGGUUGAAACAUUCAUACAACUUCUAUUUAUAACACUUCACCCCUUUAACAGUUUUUUCAUUUAUACCUUCUCCAUUUAUUACUGGCAGUUUAGCAUUGCUUUUUCAGCUUUCAGCACUCAGCAUUUCCACGCAUUUUCUGCAAGGAAAUGCAAUUUUUCUAGUUAAGUGGAAAUGCUGAUUAAGCAUUUCCACUUAUUGUUAUUCCUGUCGGCCAUUUUUCUUUAUUAUUAUUAUUAUUAUUAUUGAGUGGGAUUGCAAAGCAUUCCCACUAUAUGUUAUUCAUAUCUUUAUUAUUAUUAUAUCAACUUCCACCGUUUUUUGGCCCUCAACUACUUCCACAUACUUCAACAUAUUCAAACCAUUCAAACAUCAAAAGAUUCAUCUCAUUGAGGACAUUCAGGGGUGUAUUCAAAAUUUUCCUAACAUUCAUACUUUCCAAGAUAUUCCAGGUUUUCCGACCGAUUUCUCCCAUUAGAAAUGCAUUACGGAAUGUUCAAAUUGGCCCUUUUCUUCACACAACUUCAAAAGCCUUCAACUCCUCUAUACUUCCACGUAGAAACUUCAUUCAAAAACCAAAAUAUUCACAAAUUCGUCAGCAUUAUUCCACAUCUUCAACAUUUUUAAUCUUAUUUGUACUUUUCAAAAUAUAAAGAUUAGUUUAAAACUUCGUUAUAAUGGCAGUCAAUGGGAAAAGGGCUUCAGACGUAGUCAACUUCAACCUCUUCUCAUUCAUUCAUACUUUCACCUAGAAACUUCAUUCAAACUUUAAAAUAUUCACACAUCUUCAGACAUUCACUCAUUCAUUCACCAUCUUCAUGGCAUUCAUACUUUUCUCACAGUGACAGUUCAAAAAGUCCAAAGAUUUUCUAACCUGUUCAGGUUUUAACAUGAGUGUGUAUUGCACGGAAUGUUGGCCGCUAGAGUGGGUGACCUCACAGCUAGAGUGAGACAGGCUGAAAAUUGAUCCUCAAAACUUUGUCUUUACAAAAGGAUUGUGGCAACUCACUUCGCUCUACACAGAUAAAAUUUGGUACAGUGAUGGCAAAACUCGCUGUCACUCUUCAUCUAAAAAAUCAAAGCCAUAGGACACACACAAUGGCCUGGGCAGACACCAACUGCCGCAGACAUCCCCCAGAUUUCUCCAGCUUUCUCCAUUGACUCCAAUGUAAACCUGAGAGGAGGAUUUUCAGAGGAAACACAAACUGGACAUGUUUUUAACUUGUCGUAGCAAAGGCAUUUUUGGCUCCACAAACACAGAAGUUGUAUCAAUGUGUUCAGCCGGGCCUUGUGGUUGUCACAAGCUCCUUAUCAUGAAGACAGCAGUUACAGAGGAUGAGAAAUAUGACGUUGUUUGGGCAUUACGUUCUCGGCCUCAAGCCUCCUUUCUCCUGCUGUUGUUAAGCAUCUAUCGUCACCAUGGCAACCAAUAAGCGCACCUGGAGACACACAGCUGGCUGGAAAGCUGCUUCUAACAGCCAUAUGAGACACAUGAAGCCAGGCUCAGUACACAGAGUACUGGGGGUUACAUUUAAAACCCUUCAAUAGCGUUAUUUGACGAAAUUUGUCAUCUAUCUCUUCGCACAAACCUUGAGCUACAGAAACCAUUCAGAGCUUAAUAAAUUUAGCUCAUUGAGGACAUUUUGGGGUCUAAUCAGGAUUUUUAUUCAUUUACAUUGUCCCCAUUUUUCAAUCAUUCAUUGAAAAUGCAUUAUUUAAUUCUUCAAACUAAUUUAAACUCCUUCAAACUGAUUUAAACCGUUUUGAUUCUUCAAGACUUUUUUUCUUCCAGAUUUGUAACCUUUUAAUUUCCCAGUUUUAAAUCAUUUUUUAAUCUUAAUGCAUGAUUCAGUUCUUUCAAACAAAUUACAGCUCAUUUAAACUGAUUCAAACCUUAUUGAUUCUUCAAGCCUUUCCCAUACUUCAGGGUUUUUAAUCAUUUUAAUUUUCAAACGUUGAAUUUUUAAAAUUAUUAUUCAUGCAUUAUUCAAUUCAUUCAACAGAGUUUAUUCAAACUGAUUCAAAUCUUCCUGAUACUUCAUACCUUUUGACCUUUCACAUAUUUUAAAAUUCAGCCACUCGCAAUAGCAGCGUAGCGAUAGCAAUUUCAACUGAAGCAAUCCCACUCGCAAUUUCUUCAGAAAUUGCAUUUUCUAGUUAUUAUUAUUCUUCCGUCCCUUUUUUGGACCGCUUCUCCUCCUUCAAACUUUGUCCGAUUUCAACCAUUCAAACUUUAAACUAUUCCACUCCUUCAGGACAUUAUUGCGUGUAUUUUUUUUCUUUCUACCCUUUAUACUUUUUGUUUUUUUUAACUUUUUGUGCAAAAAUUUUAACAUUAAAGUCAAUGGGGAAAUCUUCAACUUCUUCCUUUCAUUCUUCCACCUUCUAGACCUUAUAACUUCAGCAUACUUUCACCUAGAGACCUCAUUUUUGCUUUAAAAUGUUCAUUCACUUGUCGACUAUUAUAGUUGUACUCAGUUUUUUGAUAUCUUUUACAGUUUUUCCACAAUUUAGCUUUAUGCAACUUGUGGUUUUCAGCAAAUUUCAAGCUUUAUAAUGGGUGUGUAUUGGAGAGUUUAGAGUGAUGAUGUCAUCAGCUAGAGUGCAGACCUCGUCUCUGAUCGACAGAACCUCGCUCGAAUAUAUCGCUCCCACGCCCACAAAUCUCACUCCACUGACACAAAUAAUACAUCAAAAUGGAGGUAUAUGUGUCCUGCUUCUCACAAAAGAGGUUUCAAAUCAUUAAAUCGUACCCCUUGGCCAGCAGGUGACCAACUGUCCAGAUAGGCGCAAAUAUCUCCCCAUUGGCCCUAAUGUAUUUCUUCUCCAAGAAAAUCCUUAUCGUCACUCAGGCUCAGACAUUUUUAACUCGCUGUUGUGGCCACAUUUUUCGGAGUACAGACAUGAAAAACACAUCAUUGUGUUCAUGAAGGACGGAGGAUUCGUACGAUGUUCUUAUUUUCAUUCUGGGACUUAAGGAAAUCACGCUAUGUGAAGAAGUUCACAGGCUUCUAAUCCUCUGUUGUUCAGCUGCUUGUCAUUCAAACAGUAGGUCAGUGAUUUGCCUUUGAUCUCACAGCUGUUAGGGAUGCAGUCAUUAAUGAGACACACACACACACACACACACAUUCUUGUACUUGUUGCUUUGUCAGGUCUACCUUGCAGUUCACCUGCUUGUACACACAGAUAAUAUGUGUCUGCUUCACCACCUAUCUCCACCCACAAACUUUGAGCUACAGAAACCAUUCUGGGCUUGAAAAAUUCAGCUCAUUGAAGAUAUUAUGGGGUGUUUUGAGGAUUGUGAUAAUAAAUUGUAUUAAUGUGUUCAGCAAAAUCUUGUGUUCUCACAAGCUCCUUAUGAAUUUAUACAGAGGAUGAGCGUCAGGGCCUACUUGGAGUCCUGUUUCCUUAGCUUCAAGCCUUCUUUCUCCUGCUAUAGUUAUGCAUCCAAGGUCCCCAUGGCAACCAAUUUGUGCACCUGGAGACACACAGCUGACUGGAAAGCUGCAUCUAAUGGCCAUAUGAGACACAUGAAGCCAGGCUCAGUAAACAUAGCACCUGGGAUGACACUUAAAACCCAUUCCUAGAGCGCUUGAAAAACCUUCAGCCCCUAUCUCCUCACAUGACCUUUGACCUACAGAAACCAUUCAGGGCUUUAAAAUUUGAGCUCAUUGAGGACAUUAUGGGGUGUAUUUAGGAUUUAUAUACAUUUAGAUUUUUCACAUUUUAAAGUCACUCAGUGAUGAUUUAUCAUUUAAUUUUUCAAACUAAUUUGAACUGAUUCAAACUGAUUCAAACCUUUCUAAUACUUAAAAAAUUAAACUUAUGCCACUUCCCACCUUCCUGCCUUUUAAGGCAAUUUCCUUCUUCAUUCAAACUUUGUGCAAUUUUAGACAUUUUUCUAGCCUCUUUCAGCAUGAAUAAAAUUUCUUUUUAUAGAGCAUAUUCAUACUAUUUGUCCUUCAACCAAUUAAUCAAUUAUCCAACUUACAUUUCUUUCACACCCCUUCAACAGCUUUAACAUUUAUACCUUUCUCCAUGUUUUAUUAGCAGUUUAGCAUUGCUUUUUCAGCUUUCAGCACUCAGCAUUUCCACGCAUUUUCUGCAAGGAAAUGCAAUUUUUCUAGUUAAGUGGAAAUGCUGAUUAAGCAUUUCCACUUAUUGUUAUUCCUGUCGGCCAUUUUUCUUUAUUAUUAUUAUUAUUAUUAAGUGGAAAUGCUGAUUAAGCAUUUCCACUUAUUGUUAUUCUCCUGUUUCUUUAUUAAACUUAUUAUUAUUCUUCCGCCGAUUUUUGGACCGCUUCUCCUCCUUCAAACUUUGUCCGAUUUCAACCGUUCAAACUUUAAACUAUUCCACUCAUUCAGGACAUUAUGGCGUCUAUUUUUUUCCUUUCUACCCUUUAUACUUUUUGUUUUUUUUAACUUUUUGUGCAAAAUUUGUACCAUUAAAAAUGAAUGGGGAAAUCUUAAAAUCUACCUUUUCCUCUUCCACCUUCUAGACCUUAUAACUUCAGCAUACUUUCACCUAGAGACCUCAUUUUUGCUUUAAAAUGUUCAUUCACUUGUCGACUAUUAAAGUUGUACUCAGUUUUUUGAUAUCUUUUACAGUUUUUCCACAAUUUAGCUUUAAGCAACUUGUGGUUUUCAGCAAAUUUCAAGCUUUAUAAUGGGUGUGUAUUGGAGAGUUUAGAGUGAUGAUGUCAUCAGCUAGAGUGCAGACCUCGUCUCUGAUCGACAGAACCUCGCUCGAAUAUAUCGCUCCCACGCCCACAAAUCUCACUCCACUGACACAAAUAAUACAUCAAAAUGGAGGUAUAUGUGUCCUGCUUCUCACAAAAGAGGUUUCAAAUCAUUAAAUCGUACCCCUUGGCCAGCAGGUGACCAACUGUCCAAAAAAGGCGGAAAUCUCUCCCAUUGACCAUAAUGUUAUUUUUCUCCAAGAAAAUCCGGAUCAUCGCUCAGGCUCAGACUUUUUUAACUCGCUGUUGUGGCCUCAUUUUUCGAAGUACAGACAUGAAAAACACAUCAUUGUGUUCAUGAAGGGCGGAGGAUUCGUACGAUGUUCUUAUUUUCAUUCUGGGACUUAAGGAAAUCACGCUAUGUGAAGAAGUUCACAGGCUGAAAUUCACUGCAGUUCAGCACCUCUCAGUCAAACAGUAGGUUAGUGAUUUGCCUUUGAUCUCACAGCUGUUUAGGAUGCAGUCAUUAACGAGACACACACACACACACACGCACACACAUUCUUGUACUUGUUGCUUUUUUAGGUCCACCUCGCAGUUCAGCUGCUUGUACACACAGAUAAUAUGUGUCUGCUUCACCACCUAUCUCCACCCACAAACUUUGAGCUACAGAAACCAUUCUGGGCUUCAAAAAUUCAGCUCAUUGAAGAUAUUAUGGGGUGUUUUGAGGAUUGUGAUAAUAAAUUGUAUUAAUGUGUUCAGCAGAGUCUUGUGUUCUCACAAGCUCCUUAUGAAUAUAUACAGAGGGUGAGCGUCAGGGCCUACUUGGAGUCCUGUUUCUUUAGCUUCAAGCCUUCUUUCUCCUGCUAUAGUUAUGCAUCCAAGGUCCCCAUGGCAACCAAUUUGUGCACCUGGAGACACACAGCUGACUGGAAAGCUGCUUCUAGUGGCCAUAUGAGACACAUGAAGCCAGGCUCAGUACACAUAGCAAUUGGGAUGACACUUAAAACCCUUUUCUAGAGCGUUGGAAAAAACUUCAGCCCCUAUAUCCUCACAUGACCUUUGACCUACAGAAACCAUUCAGGGCUUUGAAAUUUAAGCUCAUUGAGGACAUUAUUGGGUGUAUUUAGGAUUGUUAUUCAUUUAAAUUUUUCACAUUUUAAAAGUCAGUCAGUGAUGAUUUAUCAUUUAAUUUUUCAAACUAAUUUAAACUCAUUCAAACUGAUUCAAACCUUUCUAAUACUUCAAAACUUUCUGAUACUUGAGGACUUUUGAUAAUUUAAAAUUUCCCUGUUUUAAAUUAGUUUUAAUAUUUAUGCAUUACUCCAUCAUUCAAACAAAAUCCUACCUCAAGUACGACAACUACUGCUAAUGUCAAUUAAACUAGUACUUUCCCCUCUACUUCAACUGCUAUUGCUCCUAUUUCUACUUUCUUUACUACUUUGACUUAUACUUCUUUUAUUCUCAAUCUACUUCUACUGCUGACAUGACUACUAGUAUCACGACUUGACUUCUUAUCAUACUACUUCUAGUACUACAAUUUAAACUUGUGCCACUUCUCACCUUCCUGCCUUUUAAGGCAAUUUCCUUCUUCAUUCAAACUUUGUGCAAUUUUAGACAUUUUUCUAGCCUCUUUCAGCAUGAAUAAAAUUUCCUUUUAUAGAGCAUAUUCAUACUAUUUGUCCUUCAACCAAUUAAUCAAUUAUCCAACUUAUAUUUCUGUUCACCCCUUCAACAGCUUUAACAUUUAUACCUUUCUCCAUGUUUCAUUAGCAGUUUAGCAUUGCUUUUUCAGCUUUCAGCACUCAGCAUUUCCACGCAUUUUCUGCAAGGAAAUGCAAUUUUUCUAGUUAUUAUUAUUCUUCCGUCCCUUUUUUGGACCGCUUCUCCUCCUUCAAACUUUGUCCGAUUUCAACCAUUCAAACUUUAAACUAUUCCACUCCUUCAGGACAUUAUUGCGUGUAUUUUUCUUUUUUCUACCCUUUAUACUUUUUGAUUUUUUCAACAUUUUGUGCAAAAAUUUUAACAUUGAAGUCAAUGGGGAAAUCUUCAACUUCUUCCUUUCAUUCUUCCACCUUCUAGACCUUAUAACUUCAGCAUACUUUCACCUAGAGACCUCAUUUUUGCUUUAAAAUGUUCAUUCACUUGUCGACUAUUAUAGUUGUACUCAGUUUUUUGAUAUCUUUUACAGUUUUUCCACAAUUUAGCUUUAAGCAACUUGUGGUUUUCAGCAAAUUUCAAGCUUUAUAAUGGGUGUGUAUUGGAGAGUUUAGAGUGAUGAUGUCAUCAGCUAGAGUGCAGACCUCGUCUCUGAUCGACAGAACCUCGCUCGAAUAUAUCGCUCCCACGCCCACAAAUCUCACUCCACUGACACAAAUAAUACAUCAAAAUGGAGGUAUAUGUGUCCUGCUUCUCACAAAAGAGGUUUCAAAUCAUUAAAUCGUACCCCUUGGCCAGCAGGUGACCAACUGUCCAAAAAAGGCGGAAAUCUCUCCCAUUGACCAUAAUGUUAUUUUUCUCCAGGAAAAUCCGGAUCAUCGCUCAGGCUCAGACUUUUUUAACUCGCUGUUGUGGCCUCAUUUUUCGAAGUACAGACAUGAAAAACACAUCAUUGUGUUCAUGAAGGACGGAGGAUUCGUACGAUGUUCUUAUUUUCAUUCUGGGACUUAAGGAAAUCACGCUAUGUGAAGAAGUUCACAGGCUUCAAAUCCUCUCCAGUUCAGCUGCUUCUCAUUCAAACAGUAGGUCAGUGAUUUGCCUUUGAUCUCACAGCUGUUAGGGAUGCAGUCAUUAAUGAGACACACACACUCAGCCAAUGUGUGUGCUUCAGCCUCCCUCUCUCUAUGAGACCUUCAAGUACACACAGAAAAUAUGUGCAUGCAUGAGUCUCUCUCUGUCUAUGCGACCUGAACACACUUUGACCAUGUGUCUGCUUCACCACCUAUCUUCUCUCACAAACUUUGAGAUACAGACAUAUUUUGGGCUUCAAAAAUUCUGCUCAUUGAGGACAUUAUGGAGUCUACAGAGGAUUUCUAUUCAGUUAAAUUGUCCUUAAUUCAUUCUCAUUAUUUAUGCAUUAUUCAAUUCUUCUAAUAAAUUUAAACUCAUUCUUAUUCAAACCUUCAAACCUUUCUAAUACUUUAGGAUUUUUUAUUAGUUAUAUUUUCCCCAUUUUAAAUCAUUUUUACUAUUCAUGCAUAUUUCAAUUCUUCAAACAAAAUCCCACUUCCACUUCUACAACUACUACUUAGAUCACUUCUACUUCAACUAGUCUUGCUACUAUUAGUACUAGAAAACAAUUAAAGUGAAUUGAUUGAACCACUGCCUUUCCGUCGUGCGAAGUCUGACAUUUCCGAGUGUCCCUGAACGCCUCAAACAUUAAUACCGCGACCCACCGGUGGCUCGCGCUAUCCUUCUCCGACCUCGACGAAGGUGAGUCAGAGCACAGUCUCUCUAACUUCUGAACACUCCAAACGGUGAUUUAACGUUUCAAAUGGCACUGGUUUGAGUUAUAAUCAAUGAAGAGUUCAUUCAUGAUCGAAGUGGUCGAGAUAAUGAGUUGAAAAAGCAUACGCUAACGCUUUUAGCGUCGAGUUAGCGCCGCUAGCGUCGAGCUAGCGCCGCUAGCGUCGAGCUAACGCUAAAGCUAACAUGCCGUCAGCUGUGAGGCUGAAUCAUUAGCCAGCUGAGCACAAAGUAAAGUGAAUAUGUAAGCCGCUGCGGUACUAUAAAGCAUGCCAAAUGAUGUACAGGCUGUGGAGUUUACUGACAGUGGGACUGACAAGAAUACUCAUAUUGUCAAGUAUUGACUGACUAACUAGCUAACUAAUGACGCUAGCGCCAUUGCUACAGGUUCAAUUCAUUACUAUGACUGAGUCAUUGCUGGGGAAUUGGUCUGGAGACGUCAGCUGUUUAGCUCCUGGUCACUUGUUAUCAGCCAUUGUAGAUGUAUUAAAAUAUAGGCUGCAUUUAGCAAGCAUCCAGGUAUAGCACAAAUAUGAGUGGUUUUUCUUUUUUUAUGUGUCAGAAUGGACCUAGAUGGUCCUAUUAUUGAAGGUUUUAUUCAUGAUGGGGAUGAUAGAGAUAUUUACAUUGCAAAACAUAAAAUGAAUUCCGUAUUUAAUGUUUAACAAUACCAAGUUCCAAUUAAUAAAUAUAUUCCAGUUGAAUUUCCCUUUAGGGAUCAAUAAAGUUCUUAUCUUAAUAUUGAGUUGAUGGAUGAAGAGUUAGCUGCCUUGAAGUUGGUGGACCUGCUCCUGGUCUGUCUCUGUCUUGUUGGCUGCUACUGAACUUCACCGUCUACUGUACCUAAUUUACCUUUGAUAACAAGCUGUUAAUUUAGAUAUUGGUGAUGUGCUAACACCACAGCAAAGAUACUUUAUCUGAGGUAUAUAUACUUUAAUACAGUAUGUAUUAUGUGUGACAUUUUCAGCUGCAGCUAACAGCCAGGUGAUCUGUUGGAGCUGUUUAGUUUUCAAUUAGCCGAACUACUGUAAUAAUGUUAGUUUUCUUUAUAGGCCUAUUGUUUUUAAUGUGCUAUCUGUCAGAAAACACUAAUGUAUUGUUUCUUGUCUCAAACAGAAGAUACAUCCGCUCCAGUGCAUUUCUUGGUAAGUAUAAGUGUUUUGACCAAGACUGACAACAAACAAAAUAAAAAUAACUGGAUUAAUGAUUAGCUUAAUCCUGUUUAACAACAUGUCAUUCAAGAUAAUGUACAACAUAUGAUGCAUUUUUCAAAUACUGAGUUUAAAUUGAUAUGAAAUGUUGAUUUAUCUGUAACACUGUUGUAUAUGCUAUAUGAAAAUCAUAGAUGGGAUACAGUUUUUUCCUAGUAGACAACAGUGAGCUAACAAUAUUACUAUACUACUAAAUUCAUUUAUUUUAAACAUUUUAACUUGAUGUGAAAGUCUGAAUCUUAAUUUUGACAAUAAUUAAGUGGGAAAAUCAUUCAGAUAAUUACUAUAACUUUGAUAAUAAUCAUUACUUUGAAUGAAGUGAGCUGUGAGGGCGUCUCUUUUGAGUGUAAUAAAAAACUCUUUUCUUCCCUCUCCCCCUCCUCCUGCAUCAUCUUGUCCUCUGACCUGUGUGAAAUUCCCUACCAACUCUGAAGUGUAAGUUUACACUUGUAUAUACUUAUUAAGCAAUCAAUUAAGUGUUACAUUUUUCUCUGCAGUUUAUAAUGACAUUUCAGUGUUGCGUAUUUCACCUCAAUUACAUAAGAAAUUAAAAAGUAAAGCGGUCCUUCAUUGUGUUUGUGCAUUUCUCUCCAUUUUAACAAACAUUUUUACAAGCUAAGAGAGCAACUAAAUUUUAUUUUUUUGUCCCUCUAUCUUUUCCCUCCUCUGAACUCCUCAACGCUAUCUUUGCUGCGGGCCCUGUUCACUGUUGCCGAUUCAGCUGUAAGUUCACAAAUAAAGUAACACUGACACUUUUUACAACACAUCAUGUAAAAACCUGACACUAUGUCCUUAUUUGACAAACUGCAGCACAUUCUCAUUGUAACACAAACCAUUUUAAAAAAACACUUUAUUUAAACUAAAGCAGAACCAAAUAGAAAUAAUUUUGCAGGCUGAUUACAAUUGAAACGACAAUGCAGUGAGAUGUGCUGGUUUUGUACAACUAAACUAAAAAUCUCUUGUCUCUUUUUUUCCAUUUUCCUUCUUGCCAACUCUAUACUGUCUCCAAGUGCAGACCGUUUUGUGGCGACUCGACGUAAGUUCACACAGGAAUGACAUUUUCAUGAAUAACGCAGGGUGCCUUUAUUCAAUACAUUAUGGACCCCUCAUCAUGUCCAAACUUAAGUUUUUUUCCCCUUUGAUAAUGUAAUAUUCACAGUUGGAAAUGAACAGGUUAAAUGUGAUAUGCAAUACACUUAUUUGCAUUUUAUUUCCAAUCAUUGGAAAGCAAUUUGUUACUAUUAAAUUGUGGAGUUGUAAUUUUUUAAUCAUGAAAAUCCAAAUAAUUACUAAUUGAAUGUGAUUACCUCCUUUUGUGCAGCUGUUAUAUUAGAAAAAAAAUCAAAUUUAAUGUUCCUUAAUAUGGAAUAGACAAUCAUUAUCUAUGCCGCCAUUGAUUUAUUUUAUUAUUCAUUUAAUCCUCCGUUUAGAAAUGUGUAUAUCCUUCUAAGGUACUUUGCAUGCUUCUGUUUACAGCUUAUGGAGCUGCUUGGCCUCAUUAUAACUUAUUACAUUGUAGGAAUACUUAAAACACGGUAAAGGAAAUUACAUUUUCCAAAACACAUCAUAUUUUAUCAGCAGAGUAAUCCAUUGUUAUUACUGCUUACCAGGACAUGGUUAUAAACAUUAUAGAGGGAACUUAAAAUAAAGAGUCUAAAAUGCGCAGGGAUAAUAGAAACUUUUGUAAAAUACUUUGAGGUCCUAAAUUUAAAAAGGCUGGUUCUGUGGUUGGAUUCAAGUUGGACUCACUGGAGGAUGUGGUGGAGAGAUGUACUGUGAGGAAGGUGGAGGCUAUUCUAGAGAACAUGAAUCACCCACUUCACAACACCUUGGUGGACCGAAAGGCCUAUGGUGGUGGACGGCUCCUCUCUCUGCUGCAGGACAGAAAGACUCAUAAGAUCUUUUGUACCCACAGCCAUCAGACUUUACAAUUUAAAUAGUAGAUGACUUUUUGAGACAUGACAAGUGAGACUACAGACAAUUGAAUUUCCCUUAGGGGAUAAAUAAAGUUCUUUGUAUCUUAAAUACAUUUUCAAUUAUCUCUUAUGAACACUCUGUAUUUUUAGUCAUUAAUUUGAUUGAAGGGUUAUCGAACAAGACAAUGGUCACUUCCAGCUUUUAACUCAACUUGACUUUUGAUAGAUGUAUAGUUGAGGACAGCCACUUGGUGGAUUGAGUAAAAGUACAUUAUAAUCUCACUAGCUUUGGGUGGAUGUUGGAUCAUUUAAUUUUGUCUUUAAUAAAAAAAGAUUAAUGUUUUUUUCCAUUGUGUCUUACAGGUAUCCUGUCCAGUCUCCCCACUCUCCCCUAUCAUUUUGGUCCCUCUGACUUUCCUGUCUCCUCUACCACUCUUUCUGAUUGAAAAGCCACUCUACAAUCCUUGAACAAUUCUUUGAUACCAUUGAAACAAAUCUUUGAUACCAUUGAAACAAAUCUUUGAGACCUAUUGAAACAAAUCUUUGAGACCUAUUGAAACAAAUCUUUGAGACCCUUUGCAAUAAAUCUUUGAGACCUUUUGCAACAAAUCAUUUGAGACCCUUUUGCAACAAAUCAUUUGAGACCCCUUUGCAACAAAUCAUUUGAGACCCCUUUGCAACAAAUCAUUUGAGACCCCCUUGCAAUAAAUCUUUUGAGACCCCUUUGCAAUAAGUCUUUUUGAGACCUAUUUUAACAAACCACCUUUUUUGAGAAACCUUUGUAAACAAUCAACCCUUUUUUUGAGAAACCGAACUUCUGAAAAGCUGUACAUUUAAUGCAACCACUGUAUUGGAAAAAGCCCUAAUACUGCAAAAGUCUCAUUGUUGUUCUAGGUUUUCCUUUCCUGUCUGUGGAUCCAGAGUUUCACCAGAAGAAGUGUCAUCAGCACCACCACAUCUGCAUCCCUGGUCUUGAAAGAAAAAAAAAACGUUUCAUAUAGAGUAUUUCAGUUAGAUAUUAUUUCAAGCACAAAGUUCUAAGAUUUAAAAAUUGUUGUUGAUUUGUGUUUUUUCUUAAAACAUUUAUUUAGUCUUGCCUAGGAUUUCCUUAGAAAACAUUUGAUAAACUAUUGUUGGUAUACACACAGUUAUAAAUUACAUGUUUUGGAGACUAUAAGAGCUGUUGAAUAACGAUCUCUCUUGAAGAAAUAAAGCGCUUUUGCCUAUACUGCUGCUUAUCAUUAACUUUAAAUUGUUGUAUAAACACAUUGUUGUGAAAGAACAGCUAAAAUGCCGAGGAAGAGUAAGAAGUCACAGGUUGCAAGCCAGCGCUGGCAGAGGUUACAUGACAUUGACCGUGUAAAAGCAGAUGGUGUUCCUCAGAGCAUUGGAGAGGUAAAGAAGUCUGAAGUAUGUGAUGUUUCAAGUGAGUCACCUGCAGCAGGUCCGUCUAACACUAAACAGGUAAACCGCAGAGGUGAAACCAAUGAUCCAGGUGUACAACAGGUAACAUAUGCAGACAUGGUAAAGAGAAAACUUGCUAGUGUGUCACGUACUGCCGGUCCAUCCAACUCUGGUCAGAUAAACUACGUAGCCCAAACUGACAAGCCAUGUUCAACCCAGGUAUCAUAUCCAGACACUGUUAAGAAGGGAAACCACAGUAAUUAUCAGUCUGUAUCAGGCUCUUCUCGGGUAAGAAAUGUUAACUCUGUUAAUCAGUCAGGUGAAAAAAACGUCUGUGCGUCACGCAGCCAAGCGUCUCUGAAAUACGGCCAAUCCAGGAACCAGCAGUGCACCUGUAACUCACUGACAUUUCUAGCAUUCCUGUAUGAGAACGAACACAUCACCAGAGCAGACCUGGACCGUGUUUUGGAUAAAGGUGAUGUGAUGUACAGAGAAAUCAGAAAAACUGUUGAUCACGCCCAUCUGACAACCGAUGAGCUCCCUGACCAGGUUCCUGCCCGCAGACACAUGCAGACUGUUGACAAGUUACAGCUGUCUAGAUACGGUACGUUUGGAGAUCCAGAUCCCGGAGCUGUUGAUACCUUUCUGGACCUCGAGAUGGGACUGAGCUGCUUAUUAUCAGAUGUGCAGUAUGCUUUGCUGCUAAUGACUUCGCUGUGCAUUGCAGUUUUCAGAACCAGAGAUGGCAGGUACGGUUUCUUUGACCCACAUGCUCGGACAGCUAACGGUUUGCCUCUGCUUAAGGUCACACCUACUCCUGGUACCGCUGUCAUGGUAACAUUCACACGCCUCAGUGACAUGAUUGCCAGGCUCAUCAGGUAUCACCACAUAUUGGGCACAGUAGGGUCCUGUACCUAUGAGCUCAAGCCAGUUGUGUUCUGUGAUGUGAACCCAAGUGAUGCUAUCCCAGCCACAGAAAGUCCGUCCACAAGUCCCUCUGUCACAACCACUGUGAUAAAUGAUGACACAAGUGCCCCACAGAUGAACACUGAUGUCCAUGAAAACACUGAAUGGGACAUGGAAACUGAACCAGAACCACUGAUCGACUGCAACCAGUGUUCUGUCACAUUAACUGGUCCUGAAUUUCUCACUCCAGAGAUGAACACUACUGUAAGUGAUGACACGUCACAGAAAGCCUCAACUUUGAUGGAAACUCAAGCUCAUCAACCAGGUCAAAUCAACAAUAAUUCUGUCACAUUAGAGGAAAGUCAACAGACAAAAUCAAAUUUGACACAACCAUUGAUAACGAUCCCCGUUGCUAGUGACAAAGUUAUCCAUGACAUCUCCACUUAUCUGUCAAAAUUAAGCAAACAGCAAAAAAAGAAAUUUAAGAGGAGACUAAUGAGAUCUGGAAAGACAUUACAAAAGAAAGAGAAUCAAAAAAGGAGAGAGAGAGAAAAGUAUGCUAAGAAUGAAACGUACAAAGCAAAGAAAAAGUCUUAUUCAAGUGAGAAAUAUUCUGUCAAUCCUGAAAUACAAACAAAGAAAAGACAAAAGAUCACAACUAAAUACAGGGAAAGCACAGACUUCAGACUGAAACAAAAAGAAUAUAUCAACAAAAAAUACAAAGAAAAUGUUGAAUUUAAAGGCAGACAAAAAGAAUAUAUCACAAGGAAAUACAGAGAAAAUGUUGAUUUUAAAGGCAGACAAAAAGAAUAUAUCACAAGAAAAUACAGAGAAAAUGUUGAUUUUAAAGGAAGACAAAAGUUAUAUUUCAGGAAAAAAUACAGAGAAAAUGUUGAUUUUAAAGGCAGACGAAAAGAAUAUUUCAGGAAAAAAUACUCAGAGGAUGUUGAUUUCCGCCAAAGACAGAGAUCCUACUUCAAUCAUCGAUAUUCAAAUGAUGAAACAUUCUAUCACCGACACAGACAACUGAUGAGACAAAUAAUGCGAGACAGGUAUAAGACAAAUCUUGCAUACAGGACUAUGCAUAAAAUGAGGUGUGCAUUGAAAAUAUCAAAGAAAUACAAACAGAUAAGUAGACAAACAUGUGAGACUGACAGAGAGAGUGAAAACCCACUUAUUGAAAGUGCCAUAAAUGAUUUCAGAUCACACAUUAAAGCUGGUCCCACCCAUGUUUGCACAGUUUGCCACAAAGCCUCAUUUCCAAACCAGGUGCAAAAGUGCAAGAGGUCCAACUAUGUGAAAAAUCCAAUCAUGGUUUCAGCUUGUCUCAAAGGUCAGUACGUCCAUGAUUGUAAUGAUAACUGCAGAAAUCAGUGCACUGUCCCUGAUGAGAGAAAGACUGAGUGGAUUUGUCACACCUGCCAUGACCAUCUGAAAAAUGGAGCCAUGCCCAAACUUGCCAUAGCAAACAACUUGGAGCUUGCUGACAUACCACCUGAGCUGUGUGACCUCAACAUACUGGAGAGACAUCUGAUAGCAAAGUGCAUAACAUUUGCCAAAAUCAUUCCUCUUCCCAAAGGCAGACAGAGAGCUAUACAUGGUAAUGUUGUAUGUGUUCCCUCUGAAGUCCAGGAAACAAUUCAGGCUCUACCCAGAUUGAGAAAUGAGUCUCAGGUGAUGAGAGUAAAACUGAAGAGACGUUUGAGUUACAGAGGUCACCAUCUGUUUCAGACUGUUACCUGGUCCAAGCUAGUGCAGGCUCUGCAUAAACUGAAAGAGACACACCCCCAGUAUGAAGACAUCACUAUUAGAGAUGAGGAGGAGUUAUGUGACCCCACACUUCCUGAUGAUGGUGAUGAGGAUGAGGAUGAGGAUGAUGAUAACACAAUGAAUGAUGACGACUAUGACGAUGAGGAUUUGAUGGAAAUUGAUAGAAUUGAGGCUGCUGCCAUGUAUGAGGCUGAAACUAAUGUUGAAAAUGAGGAUGAGAACACAGAGCUGUGUGAUAAAAGUCAGACCCAGGACAAUGAUGAUCAGACACAACAACAGGAUGCAGACAUAUCUAAUGGUGGUGUUGUUUUGGAGUCGUGCCUUCAGCCACGGGAUGUUUCUGAGGAGAUAUUGUGUUUCAGUGACUCUACAUACUCAGUAGCUCCAGCAGAGAGAAACAAUCCAGUCAGUUUUUUCAAAACACCCAAACUAGAGGCCAUGGCGUUUCCUGUUCAGUUUCCCACUGGUGAGAAUACACUGGAUGAAAACAGACCCAUGAAACUAUCACCCAGUAGUUAUUUUAAAGCAAGGCUCUUUGGUGUCAAUGAUCGCUUUGCCAAAGAUACCAACUACCUGUUCUUUGCACAGUUUGUGACUGAAAUACACUUGGCUACCUCCAGCAUGUCAAUACAGUUACGCAAAGGCAAACCUUUGACCAGAGACGGACGUAAAAUAACAUCCAGAAUGUUGAGAGACAAAUACGAAGUGGAGAGACUGGUGAGAAACAGAGAUGCUAUCAGAUUUAUGCAGCCGCUCAGAGGAACACCAGCCUACUGGGACAAAACUACAAAAGAUCUGUUUGCUAUGAUCAGACAGUUGGGCAGUCCUUCUUUCUUUGUCACAUUUUCUGCAGCAGAAAUGCGUUGGCCUGAGGUGAUUAUUGCAAUAAAAUUACAACAAGGUGAGGAGGUGAAUUUUGAAGAGCUCGACUGGUCCACAAAGUGUGACAUUCUGAGAAGCAAUCCUGUGACAACGAUGCGCAUGUUUGACAAGCGUGUUGAAGCACUGUACAGAGAUCUGAUCAUGUCUCCUGCACAACCCCUGGGCAAAGUUUUUGACUUCUUUUGGCGUCUCGAGUUUCAGCACAGAGGAAGUCCUCAUAUACAUGGUCUUUUGUGGGUAGAAGGUGCACCUGUGUUUGAGAGAGACUCUGACAAAACUGUGUGUGACUUUGUGUCCAAACACAUCUCUGCUCAGCUCCCUGACCCAAACAAACAGCCUGAACUGUACAAAAAGGUCAAAGAAGUGCAAAUACACAGUAAGAACCACUCAAAGACAUGUUUCAAAAGUGCAAGUUCUGGAUGCCGAUUUGGAUUCCCAAAACCACCCUCCAGACAGACAAUGAUAACAAGACCUGUGGGUGAUGAUGAGGAGUCAGAGAGACUUAAGAGAGCCAAAGAGAAACUUGCACCACUGAAUCAGCUGCUGAAUGAGACACAAACUGAAUCCAUGAGUUUUCAACAGCUCCUGUCUGUCUGUGACUUAACCGCUGAUGAGUAUGAGAAACACAUGAAUGUGAUGAGUCAGUCCAGCAACAUCAUUCUGAAGCGUGAGCCAAAAGACUGCUGGGUAAACACCUACAACCCUCACCUGCUCAAAGCUUGGGAUGCAAACAUUGACGUGCAGUUCAUUCUCAGCUACUACAGUCUGAUCCAUUACAUAUGUACGUACAUGUGUAAAAGUGAGAACUCUGUGAGCCAGUACCUGCAAACACUCAUUCAGAACUCCGACAGAGAAUGUGUCAAUGAAUGUGAUGAAAUGAAAGCGGUCAUGCAGGCGUAUUCAAAAAAGCGAGAAGUAUCAGCACAAGAAGCUGUUGCCCGAGUGACUUCACUGAACAUGAAAAAGAGUUCACGCAGUGUGGUUUUUGUCCCAACUGAUGACAACCCAGUGAAAAUGAGUCUGCCUGUGUCAAGCCUUGACAACACAACACCAGACAGCUUGAAUGUGUGGAUGACAUCCUUAACAGACAAGUACAAAUCCAGACCUGAAUCACCAGAGUUUGAAGAGAUGUGCAUGGCUGAUUUUGCUUCUACCUGCAGACUGGUGUAUGGACAACAGACCAAGGGCAAGAAAGUGGUACCUUUGCUGAAUGAACUAGGCUUUAUACAGAGACGAGAAAGUGACAACGCUGCUGUCAUCAGGUAUCGCCGCAUAUCCAAAGAGAAAUACCCUGAGCAGUUUUACGGCACAUUGCUUAGACUGUAUCUUCCAUACAGAUCAGACGAUGAGCUGAAAAGACCAUAUUUUCCCACAUAUGAGUCAUUCUAUGAGAGAGGUGUGGUUCAGCUGCCGUAUUCUGACCGACCCCUGAGUGUGAAACUCAUCGUGAAAAGAAACAGAGAGAGAUAUGAAAAAAACAGUGAGGAAAUUGACUCUGCUCUCGAGGACUUUGAACAGAACAGAGGUGUGGUCGAUGAAUGGUGUAAUUUGGCACCUGAAUCUGAACUGGUGAGGUUGGAGUGUAUCGAUGAACUGGACCCAGACAGUGUGAAAAUGUCCAAGAGGAUGUACCGGAUUACAGCAGACAAUCAAAUGCUGCUACAGAGGCCAGAGUCAUGAGAGAGCCCCCUACAAUCGAUCCCACACAGUUACGACAAAUGUAUCAGAGUCUGAACCAGAAACAGGCAUGUGUGUUCUAUGCAGUGAGAGACUGGUGCAUAAAAAGAGUCUGUGGACCACAACCAGAGCAGUUUUUCUACUACAUCAAUGGUGGUGCUGGCACUGGAAAGUCACAUCUCAUUAAAUGCAUUCAUUCAGAAGCAUCAAAGAUUCUGAGAACACUACCUAGACGUGCAGAGGAAGCUGACAUCUCAAACCCAACUGUGCUGUUGACUGCUUUCACCGGAACUGCAGCCUUUAACAUCUCUGGAACAACACUGCACUCUCUCCUCAAGCUGCCCAGAAGUUUGAAACCUCCUUUUCAAGGUCUUGGGAACCAACUUGAUGAAAUCAGGUGUGAGCUUUUAAACGCUGAAAUCAUCAUCAUUGAUGAAAUCUCCAUGGUGUCGAAGCCUCUGUUUGCUUAUGUGGAUAUGAGACUGAAACAGAUUAAAGGCAGCCACAGACCCUUUGGAGGAAUGUCAGUCAUUGCUGUGGGAGACUUUUACCAGCUACCGCCUGUGCGACAGUCCAAACCACUCUGUGUCUAUGAUCCAAGUGAGCUUGACCUCUGGAGAGACAACUUCCAGGUGAUCACUUUAGAUGAGAUCAUGCGACAGAAAGAUGACAAAACUUUUGCCGAGAUGCUGAACAGACUCCGUGUGAAAACAAGGUCAGAUGAGAUUUCUGAAGCUGACAGAGCUCUGCUGUCACAGCGUGUCACUGAACCACAACGGUGUCCCUCUGAUGUCCUGCACAUUUUUGCUACAAACAAACAAGUCGCAGCACACAACUCUGCCACACUAUCUCUGCUCCAUUCUGAUAUCACCACCAUUGAUGCAGACGACUUUAAAAAGGACCCACACACUGGACACAUGAAAAGACAAGGUGCACCAUGUCAUGGAAGCAGAAAUGACCUACCUGACACACUAGAUGUUGCAGUAGGUGCUAGAGUCAUGCUUACCAGAAACAUUGAUGUGUCUCAAGGAUUGGUGAACGGAUCAUUUGCUACAGUAGGCCGUAUCAUAAGCUCUGAAAACAACGGUUCUGCUCUUGUCACUAUGCUUGGUCUCAGGAUGGAUGAUGAAACAGCUGGCAGGAGCUAUCGUACUCGAGGAGACAAUCUUGUGUACAUCGAGAGAUCUGAGGAGGCUCUGCAACAGAAAGGAGUGGUACGCAGACAGUUUCCUGUGAAACUUGCCUUUGCAUGCACGAUACACAAGGUUCAAGGUAUGACCAGAAAAUCUGCUGUUGUCUCUCUGAAGCACAUUUUUGAGCCCGGCAUGGCCUACGUAGCUAUCAGUCGAGUGACCUCUCUCAGCGGACUGUACAUGCUUGAUUUGGAUGAGAGUAAAAUCCAUGCUAACCCUGCAGUCACUGUAUCUUUGGAGACCAUGACGCAAGCUAACUUUGAUCACCUCAUGCCUUUUCUCCAGAUCCAGCAUUCUCUCAGCAGACAGGACACUGUGAGCAUCAUUCAUCACAACACCGAAGGAUUACCUGCUCAUGUGAAUGACAUCAAAAGCCAUCAUGAACUGUGUCUUGCAGAUGUUUUGUGUCUGACAGAAACUCACCUACAGGGCUCCUUUGUGGCAGACAGUCUCCAAUUUGAGGGCUACACCAUGUUCAAACGCAACAGACAUUUGUCCUACACUAACUUUCCACAGAUGGCCAGUAAAGGAGGUGGUGGAGUCGCUGUUUAUGUGAAAAACCAUUUGCAGGUUGUGGAGAAACAGUACCUGAAUAAUGUGACUGACCUCGAGUUUGUGGCUUUGAAGGUUGAAUCUCCUGUAAGUGCUCUGAUUGCAGCUGUGUACAGACCUCCAGACUACAGUGUGUCAUCAUUCCUGUCCAAUCUGGGAAGCCUUCUGGACUCACUUGAGAUCAUGGACUGUCAUCCCAUCAUCGUCUGUGGCGACUUCAAUGAGAAUCUCUUUUCUAAUGCAAGUAAGCCAAUUUUGGAUUUCUUUCAGUCCAAGGGAUAUGGUCAACUGAUCACUGCUGCUACAACGGACAAGAACACACUGCUGGACCUGAUCUUCAUCUCACGACCUCAGCUAUGUCUCUCCUCAGGUAUCAUGCAGACGUACUACAGUUACCACAACGCCACUUACUGUGUCAUUUCAUCCAACAGGUCAUAGAGGAAACUGCUCUGAAGGAAAAGACAAACUACAGAGGGUUUAGCUGAUGUUCUGCUUAUAUUUUCAGUGCCCAUUUGGUGUUUGGUGAUUGUAAGUUUUUGAAUGCAAAAAAAAAAAAAAAUUAUGGCGGAAUUUUUUAGAAAGGCAACAUUUUUCAGGUUGUACAAUUUUCAGCUAUUUGAAUGUUAAAAGUUAUGAUAUUUGGCCUUUGCACUUAUGUCCAGACAAGUUAAUCCAUUUAACUCACAACUGCAGCAAUGUCUUGCCUCAGGUAUCCUGCGGACCUGCUAUAGUAACCACAAUCCCACUCACUGUGUCAUUUCAGGUCAUAAAGGGAAACUGCUCUGAAGGGAAAGACAAACCAGAGAAGUUGUGGCUAAUGUUAUGUCUAUAUUUUUAUUAGUACAGAUUGAAAUUUUUUUAGCAAUUUAAAAUUUUCUGGUGCAAAAAAUAUUUUUAUGGCUUAAUUUCAACAUUUUCAGGUAGUACAAUUUUUAACUAUUCAAAUGUAAUAAAUGUUAUUUUUUGGCCUGUGCAUUUAUCAAGUCCAGUCAAGUCAAGUUAAUCCAUUUAACUUGACUUGACUGGACAUAGGGAGGGUGGGUGCGGAUUGAUAAAUGCACAGGCCAAAACUCUCAGCUGCUGUGUACAAUAAUGUAUACAGCAGCAAAAAUUAAAAACCUCCAUCAGAAAGUGUGUGUUCCCUAAUGAACACACACUUUCUGAUGUUCUGUGACCUACCAGCUGAAACCCCCCUUUUCUCCACCCAACUUUACACUACUCUCUUAGCAUGGGUGGCUGUAAGUACACUAGGGCAAACAUAAGAUUCCUUUCCUUUGGGUAUGUUUUGUUUCAUUUUAUUUUAUUUUUUCAGUUGUAUCCUACAUCUUUGGCCUGACCUCCAUUAGUGAUGUCCAAACUAGCUCAAUGUAAACUGAAAAUAUUAUCAAACUGUCAACCAAAAGUAAACACAUCACCUGUAGGUACAGUAGAGUAAAGCCAAGUUUCCUUUUGUUUGGGUAUUUUUUUUUUCUUCUUCAGUUGUCUCUACCAUCUUUGUCCUGACCAUUAGUGCUGUCCUGACUAGCUCACUGUGAGCAGAAAAAAAUUACCAAACCAUCAACCAGAAGUAAACACAUCACUUUGGACCACUCAAAGACACAGUCUACUUGCUGUUUAACCCAGUCUUUGGUCAGAGGUGAAGAAGAGAUGACAUCCUCCACACCAUCCCCCUGCUGCUCUCAACAACCAUCAUCGCUGUGCUGGACAGACUGCAGCACCCACCAGGACCGUUCUCUCAUGGACUACACAAACAUGUGUUUUACCUGCUCGUGCUCCAGAUGUCCUGAAGCAGCUCUCAAGGACCACCAGACACCAGGCUGAAGCAGAACUGAUGCUGUAGUACCUGUCACUCACUUGGCUCGUUCCUGCUGAACCUCCAAGAGGUAAACCCCUCUUCAAGAAAGUCUGAGGUAAUGUCUUGGUGAACUUAGUUAUCUUAGCUGCUGUAUUAAUGCUUGUGACGCUAUUGUACAGCUCUGCUGAUAUCAUCGUCUUUAACAGCAGUGUUUUCUCCCAGGUCUUCUUCAAGCCAGUUAAGAGAGGAAGAACAGCUUAGACACUCAGGCAGCUGAACGCACCAAAGAUGGACAUCAUGCAGCCACCCUGAGCCUUGAGCCUCUCUGUGUGAGGAAGCUUUGCUGCUGCAGACCUGGUGAAGUUGCUCUGGACAGAAAUAUUUUUUGCUCUGCUGCAGUGCUGAAGGUAUUCAUUGUAAUGAUGUGUGUAUUUAUUCAACGUGUUUAGUUUCACAGAUUAUCAACACAAAUGUUUCUGUUUAUUUCCUGUUUUGAACCAGCUACAUUCUCCUACUUCAAGUCACUGUCUGUUCAUCCACGGUGUAGCCAGUGCAGCUCAGCAGAGUCCUACUAAUGGUGAUCCUUCAAGUCCUGCAGCCCUAUGAAGCAAGCUGCAGCAGAUGUCAACACAUUCACAUCAUCAGUUUAUCUUUACUGCAGCUUUAAACUUCCCCAGAGGUAACGGUGUAUUUCCUUGCCCCAUAACAAAAACCAUGUUUGACCAACAUAGAAAAGUACAGAAUUACUGUUAGCACAGGAUUACAGAGUUAAAGUGAAGGGGAUUUUGUUUGUUUUUUUCAAACCUCUCCUCCUCCUGCCUCUGACUCCAGUGAUGCUGUCAACUCGAACACUGAUAACUGCACACAGCGAUCCUACAACCCUCAAAGGUCAAAACAUUACUUCACUCUAAACCUUCACUCUGAACUGUACUGGGCUCUGCUUUUGGUUUUGAAAAAAAGUGCCCAGACAGAACACAGUACUCACUUGAGGAACUGACUGAUUGUCUUCAGGACAGGACAACUAUUACUCUUGUAUUGUUUUGAAUCCUGUUUUCUACAUUAAGUGAUCGGUUGUCGAUAUCUGUUGAUAUUUUAAGUUUCCUUUAUGUUUCUUGGACUUUAUUUGUUCUAUUUUAUUUGAGUAUUUUCUUCCUUUUACUGUGUAUCUGUCCUUAUAUCAAAAGAUGACCAACACUGAUGAAGGGAAAAAAUACCAGUUACUUCAGUUGUUGCAGGCAGCUGAAUUUCUCGCUUUAAUAUGCUCACCAUAUCCCUCAAAUUUACGUACAAGAGAAGUCGUGUUUUAGAAAUAAAUGAUGUACUUUGGGUUUCAGCUGGUAGGUACACUGAAAUUUUUCACGUGUGCUUAGUCUUGGGCUAAUGUUUUGGACAGAAGUGAUCCCAGCAUUACAGUGUGAAACAAUCCCUGCUGAAGGUUGUCGUCACAAUCCUCAAACACAGGGCUUGGUUUAACGAGCUGUGUGAAGGUAUUUCACAGAGGAACAAAGUUUUUAUGCUUAUCCUUAAAAUGUAAUUCUCCAUAGUAGAAAACUUUUUAAAAAGAAACUAUCAAUGUGAAGACAACCCAGCAUUUCAGUAAGACAAGUAGUGUGAAUGUUUGGAUAAGAAAACACUGGUAUCUAAAAUGCUGACCAGAUUGUCAGUCCACUACAAUGAGCUGGUGACAGUAUUAGCCUUGGUCUAACUACUGUGAAAAGCCUUUUGGGUGGUAAGGUGGACCAAUACAUGCUAUAAAAAAUACUUCAGUGCCAUAUUUAAUUCAUACGCCUUUCACCUUACUUUGCCUGUAUAUUUCCGCAAGCCUGGAUGACUUUGCACCUUUUGCAUUUGCAUCCUUCACCUUACUCUCCACAUUAUUUUAAAAUUUUAAUUUAGAUUUGAUUUGAUUUUUUUUAUUUUAAUUUCUGUAAAAUACUUCUGUACUACACUGUACAGUAAACUGCUGAGUUAUUUUUGCAAACAAAAAUGCUGACCAGAUUGUCAGUCCACUACAAUGAGCUGAUGACAGUAUUAGCCUUGGUCGACUGUGAAAAGCCUUUUGGUGGUAAGGUGGACCAAUACAUUACAUCAAUUUAUUUCAAGUUAUCAAAUCUACUUUUUAAUCUGAUCAUUUUAGAUUUUGUUUAAUGUUUCAGUUUCAUAUCAUUUAAUUUUAUUAUUAUAAUCAUUUAUUAUUCUAUAAUUUUCUUUUUUUUCUACAUGAGAGGGCCCACAUUUCACUGCAGUUAGCUUUAAAAAAUACUACAAUGCCAUAUUUAAUUCAUAUGCCUUUCACCUUACUUUGCCUGUAUAUUUCCACAAGCCUGGAUAACUUUGCAAUACUUUGUAAUACUGCUGACCGAUUUUAGUAACAAUUUUUUUUAUAACUCUCAAGUCACCAUUUUCAUAUUUUUUUUUUAUGUAUAGGUAUAAAGGUUUUUCAGAUGUGCAAACUUAGUCUUAGGCUAAUCUAAACCCUUAAAAACACACAUAACAGUCCUGUAUCAGACUUUGAAAUCAAAUUUCAAGGUCUGUUUUUAAAGCCCACAACACAGGACUUGGCUCAAUGGGCCAUGACAAAUUUUAUGAGCCAACUUUUGUUAAGGUUUAGUAAUCCGAAAACACAAGAAAAGAGGUGAAUGUGGGUACAGGGCUGCUGGAGUUUGAAUCCAGUAAAUAAUGGGGUGUUAGCCUCAGUCUAACAACUGUGUGAAGAGCCUUUAAUGAUUGGGCUAAACAAUUUUAGAAACAACUGAAAAUGUGAUACCUUUGUCCAUCAACAAUCACAGCAACUACAAUCUUAAAACCUUAAGCUUAAGAGACAGAUUGGUCACCCAUGUAAAGAUUUCUGCUUCCAAAACCUGUUCACAAACAAAUUGUUUAUAAUUUGAUUUAAGGCACUAUGGAGCACUAUUUCUUUGUGUUUAUGUUUUGAUGUUUUUUUUUUAAUUAUUUUUUUAUAUUUUAUGAUUAAUCAUUUCAUUGCUCACAAAUUGUGAAAGAAUUGACAAAAAUAUUUUUCUUUUUUUCUUUGUUUUGGUUUUACUUAUGUAAAAACUCAAUUUGAAUUUUCAAGUUGAUUCAAAUUUUACAUUAAAAAUAUUUGUGUAAUAUAUUCAUUUCUCAUCUACAUUCAUUUCUACUUCUUCCAACAUGAAGGCCUUUUCAGCCAUCUUUAAAAUUCUUUACCAUAUUUUCUGUAAUGUUCAAGUUCAGUUCUUUAGCAAUUUGAAUAUUCAUACAGCUACUGGUUUACCUCUCCCAGUGUUUUUACAUCCAUAAAGCUCAUCUCUUUUUCAUCAUCUUCUUCUUCAGUUCUGUUACGGUUGAAACAAUCAUACAACUUCUACUUAUAACACUUCACCCCUUUAACAGUUUUUUCAUUUAUACCUUCUCCAUUUAUUACUGGCAGUUUAGCAUUGCUUUUUCGUCUUUCAGCACUCAGCAUUUCCACGCAUUUUCUGUAAGGAAAUGCAAUUUUUCUAGUUAUUAUUAUUAUUCUUCCGUCCCUUUUUUGGACCGCUUCUCCUCCUUCAAACUUUGUCCGAUUUCAACCAUUCAAACUUUAAACUAUUCCACUCCUUCAGGACAUUAUUGCGUGUAUUUUUUUUCUUUCUACCCUUUAUACUUUUUGUUUUUUUUAACUUUUUGUGCAAAAAUUUUAACAUUAAAGUCAAUGGGGAAAUCUUCAACUUCUUCCUUUCAUUCUUCCACCUUCUAGACCUUAUAACUUCAGCAUACUUUCACCUAGAGACCUCAUUUUUGCUUUAAAAUGUUCAUUCACUUGUCGACUAUUAUAGUUGUACUCAGUUUUUUGAUAUCUUUUACAGUUCUUCCACAAUUUAGCUUUAUGCAACUUGUGGUUUUCAGCAAAUUUCAAGCUUUAUAAUGGGUGUGUAUUGGAGAGUUUAGAGUGAUGAUGUCAUCAGCUAGAGUGCAGACCUCGUCUCUGAUCGACAGAACCUCGCUCGAAUAUAUCGCUCCCACGCCCACAAAUCUCACUCCACUGACACAAAUAAUACAUCAAAAUGGAGGUAUAUGUGUCCUGCUUCUCACAAAAGAGGUUUCAAAUCAUUAAAUCGUACCCCUUGGCCAGCAGGUGACCAACUGUCCAGAUAGGCGCAAAUAUCUCCCCAUUGGCCCUAAUGUAUUUCUUCUCCAAGAAAAUCCUUAUCGUCACUCAGGCUCAGACAUUUUUAACUCGCUGUUGUGGCCACAUUUUUCGGAGUACAGACAUGAAAAACACAUCAUUGUGUUCAUGAAGGACGGAGGAUUCGUACGAUGUUCUUAUUUUCAUUCUGGGACUUAAGGAAAUCACGCUAUGUGAAGAAGUUCACAGGCUUCUAAUCCUCUGCUGUUCAGCUGCUUGUCAUUCAAACAGUAGGUCAGUGAUUUGCCUUUGAUCUCACAGCUGUUAGGGAUGCAGUCAUUAAUGAGACACACACACACACACACACACACACACACACAUUCUUGUACUUGUUGCUUUGUCAGGUCUACCUUGCAGUUCACCUGCUUGUACACACAGUUAAUAUGUGUCUGCUUCACCACCUAUCUCCACCCACAAACUUUGAGCUACAGAAACCAUUCUGGGCUUGAAAAAUUCAGCUCAUUGAAGAUAUUAUGGGGUGUUUUGAGGAUUGUGAUAAUAAAUUGUAUUAAUGUGUUCAGCAAAAUCUUGUAUUCUCACAAGCUCCUUAUGAAUUUAUACAGAGGAUGAGCGUCAGGGCCUACUUGGAGUCCUGUUUCCUUAGCUUCAAGCCUUCUUUCUCCUGCUAUAGUUAUGCAUCCAAGGUCCCCAUGGCAACCAAUUUGUGCACCUGGAGACACACAGCUGACUGGAAAGCUGCAUCUAAUGGCCAUAUGAGACACAUGAAGCCAGGCUCAGUAAACAUAGCACCUGGGAUGACACUUAAAACCCAUUCCUAGAGCGCUUGAAAAACCUUCAGCCCCUAUCUCCUCACAUGACCUUUGACCUACAGAAACCAUUCAGGGCUUUAAAAUUUGAGCUAUUGAGGACAUUAUAGGGUGUAUUUAGGAUUUAUAUACAUUUAGAUUUUUCACAUUUUAAAGUCACUCAGUGAUGAUUUAUCAUUUAAUUUUUCAAACUAAUUUGAACUGAUUCAAACUGAUUCAAACCUUUCUAAUACUUAAAAAAUUAAACUUAUGCCACUUCCCACCUUCCUGCCUUUUAAGGCAAUUUCCUUCUUCAUUCAAACUUUGUGCAAUUUUAGACAUUUUUCUAGCCUCUUUCAGCAUGAAUAAAAUUUCUUUUUAUAGAGCAUAUUCAUACUAUUUGUCCUUCAACCAAUUAAUCAAUUAUCCAACUUACAUUUCUUUCACACCCCUUCAACAGCUUUAACAUUUAUACCUUUCUCCAUGUUUUAUUAGCAGUUUAGCAUUGCUUUUUCAGCUUUCAGCACUCAGCAUUUCCACGCAUUUUCUGCAAGGAAAUGCAAUUUUUCUAGUUAAGUGGAAAUGCUGAUUAAGCAUUUCCACUUAUUGUUAUUCUCCCGUUUCUUUAUUAAGUGGAAAUGCUGAUUAAGCAUUUCCACUUAUUGUUAUUCUCCUGUUUCUUUAUUCAACUUAUUAUUAUUCUUCCGUACCUUUUUUGGACCGCUUCUCCUCCUUCAAACUUUGUCCGAUUUCAACCGUUCAAACUUUAAACUAUUCCACUCCUUCAGGACAUGAUAGCUAUUACUUUUCACUCUUCUACCUUUUAUACUUUUUGUUUUUUUUUUACUUUUUGUGCAAAAAUUUUAACAUUGAAGUCAAUGGGGAAAUCUUCCAUAUCUUCCUUUUAUUCUUCCACCUUCUAAGCCUUAUAACUUCAGCAUACUUUCACCUAGAGACCUCAUUUUUGCUUUAAAAUGUUCAUUAACUUGUCGGCUAUUAAUGUUGUAUUCACUUUUUUGUGCUAUCUUCUACAGUUCUUCCACAAUUUAGCUUUAAGCAACUUGUGGUUUUCAGCAAAUUUUCAGGCUUUAUAAUGGGUGUGUAUUGGAGAGUUUAGAGUGAUGAUGUCAUCAGCUAGAGUGCAGAGCUCAUCUCUGAUCGACAGAACCUCGCUCGAAUAUAUCGCUCCCACGCCCACAAAUCUCAAUCCACACCCAUAAAAAAUACGUCAAAAUGGAGGUAUAUGUGUCCUGCUUCUCACAAAAGAGGUUUCAAAUCAUUAAAUCUUACCCCUUGGCCAGCAGGUGACCAACUGUCCAAAUAGGCGGAAAUCUCUCCCCAUUAGACCUAAUGUAUUUCUUCUCCAAGAAAAUCCUUAUCCCCACUCAGGCUCAGACUUUUUUAACUCGCUGUUGUGGCCACAUUUUUCGGAGUACAGACAUGAAAAAGACAUCAUUGUGUUCAUGAAGGGCGGAGGAUUCGUACGAUGUUCUUAUUUUCAUUCUGGGACUUAAGGAAAUCGUGCUAUGUGAAGAAGUUCAGAACCCUAAAUUCACUGCAGUUCAACAGCUUCUCCAUUCAAACAGUAGGUCAGUGAUUUGCCUUUGAUCUCACAGCUGCUUAGGAUGCAAUCAUUAACGAGACACACACACACACACACACACACAUUCUUGUACUUGUUGCUUUAUGAGGUCUACCUUGCAGUUCAGCUGCUUGUACACACAGUUAAUAUGUGUCUGCUUCGCCACCUAUCUCCACCCACAAACUUUGAGCUACAGAAACCAUUCUGGGCUUCUAAAAUUCAGCUCAUUUAAGAUAUUAUGGGGUGUUUUGAGGAUUGUGAUAAUAAAUUGUAUUAAUGUGUUUAGCAGAGUCUUGUGUUCUCACAAGCUCCUUUUCAGGAAUAGAUACAGAGGCUGAGCGUCAGGGCCUACUUGGAGUCCUGUUUCCUUAGCUUCAAGCCUUCUUUCUCCUGCUAUAGUUAUGCAUCCAAGGUCCCCAUGGCAACCAAUUAGUGCACCUGGAGACACACAGCUGACUGGAAAGCUGCUUCUAAUGGCCAUAUGAGACACAUGAAGCCAGGCUCAGUACACAUAGCACUGGGGAUGACACUUAAAACCCUUUACUAGAGCGCUUGAAAAAACUUCAGCCCCUAUCUCCUCACAUGACCUUUGACCUACAGAAACCAUUCAGGGCUUUAAAAUUUAAGCUCAUUGAGGACAUUAUAGGGUGUAUUCAGAAUUUAAAUUCAUUUAAAUUUUUCAAAUUUUAAAGUCACUCAGUGAUGAUUUAUUAAUUAAUUUGUAAACUAAUUUAAACUCAUUAAAUCUUACUGAUACUUGAGGAUUUUGAAUUAUUUAAAUUUUCCCUGUUUAAAAUUAGUUUUAAUAUUUAUGCAUUAUUCCAUCAUUCAAACAAAAUCCCACCUCUAGAGCUACAACUACUGCUGAUGUCAAUUAAAUGAGUACUUUCCCCUCUACUUCAACUGUUAUUGUUCCUUUUUCUACUUUCUCUACUGCUGCUAUUGCUACUAUUUCUACUUUCUCUACUACUUUGACUCAUACUUCUUUUAUUCUAAACCUACUUCUACAGCUUACAUGACUACUAGUAUCACUACUUGACUUCUUAUCAUAUUACUUCUAGUACUACAACUUAAACUUAUGCCACUUCUCACCUUCCUGCCUUUUAAGGCAAUUUCCUUCUUCAUUCAAACUUUGUGCAAUUUUAAACAUUUUUCUAGCCUCUUUCAGCAUGAAAUUAAAUUUCCUUUUAUAGCGCAUAUUCAUACUAUUUGUCCAUUAACCAAUUAAACAAUUAUACAACUUAUAUUUCUUUUUUACCCCUUCAACAGCUUUAACAUUGAUACCUUUCUCCAUGUUUUAUUAGCAGUUUAGCAUUGCUUUUUCAGCUUUCAGCACUCAGCAUUUCCACGCAUUUUCUGCAAGGAAAUGCAAUUUUUCUAGUUAUUAUUAUUCUUCCGCCGUUUUUCGUCCGCUUUCAACUCCUUCCCAGUUUGUGCGAUUUCAACCGUUCAAACUUUAAACUAUUCCACUCCUUCAGGACACGUUUGCUAUUACUUUUCACUUUUCUAACAUUUAUACUUUUUGUUUUUUUUAACUUUUUGUGCAAAAAUUUUAACAUUGAAGUCAAUGGGGAAAUCUUCAAAUUCUUCCUUUUAUUCUUCCACCUUCUAGACCUUAUAACUUCAGCAUACUUUCACCUAGAGACCUCAUUUUUGCUUUAAAAUGUUCAUUCACUUGUCGACUAUUACAGUUGUACUCAGUUUUUUGAUAUCUCUUACAGUUUUUCCACAAUUUAGCUUUAAGCAACUUGUGGUUUUCAGCAAAUUUCAAGCUUUAUAAUGGGUGUGUAUUGGAGAGUUUAGAGUGAUGAUGUCAUCAGCUAGAGUGCAGACCUCGUCUCUGAUCGACAGAACCUCGCUCGAAUAUAUCGCUCCCACGCCCACAAAUCUCACUCCACUGACACAAAUAAUACAUCAAAAUGGAGGUAUAUGUGUCCUGCUUCUCACAAAAGAGGUUUCAAAUCAUUAAAUCGUACCCCUUGGCCAGCAGGUGACCAACUGUCCAAAUAGGCGGAAAUCUCUCCCCAUUAGACCUAAUGUAUUUCUUCUCCAAGAAAAUCCUUAUCCCCACUCAGGCUCAGACUUUUUUAACUCGCUGUUGUGGCCACAUUUUUCGGAGUACAGACAUGAAAAAGACAUCAUUGUGUUCAUGAAGGGCGGAGGAUUCGUACGAUGUUCUUAUUUUCAUUCUGUGACUUAAGGAAAUCACGCUAUGUGAAGAAGUUUAGAGCCUCUAAAUCCUCUGUAGUUCAGCUGCUUCUCAUUCAAACAGUAGGUCAGUGAUUUGCCUUUGAUCUCACAGCUGUUUAGGAUGCAGUCAUUAACGAGACACACACACACACACACACACACACACACACACACACACACACACACAUUCUUGUACUUGUUGCUUUAUGAGGUCUACCUUGCAGUUCAGCUGCUUGUACACACAGUUAAUAUGUGUCUGCUUCGCCACCUAUCUCCACCCACAAACUUUGAGCUACAGAAACCAUUCUGGGCUUCUAAAAUUCAGCUCAUUGAAGAUAUUAUGGGGUGUUUUGAGGAUUGUGAUAAUAAAUUGUAUUAAUGUGUUUAGCAGAGUCUUGUGUUCUCACAAGCUCCUUAUCAGGAAUAGAUACAGAGGAUGAGCGUCAGGGCCUACUUGGAGUCCUGUUUCCUUAGCUUCAAGCCUUCUUUCUCCUGCUAUAGUUAUGCAUCCAAGGUCCCCAUGGCAACCAAUUAGUGCACCUGGAGACACACAGCUGACUGGAAAGCUGCUUCUAAUGGCCAUAUGAGACACAUGAAGCUAGGCUCAGCACACAUAGCACUGGGGAUGACACUUAAAACCCUUUACUAGAGCGCUUGAAAAAACUUCAGCCCCUAUCUCCUCACAUGACCUUUGACCUACAGAAACCAUUCAGGGCUUUAAAAUUUGAGCUCAUUGAGGACAUUAGGGGGUGUAUUUAGGAUUUAUAUACAUUUAGAUUUUUCACAUUUUAAAGUCACUCAGUGAUGAUUUAUCAUUUAAUUUUUCAAACUAAUUUGAACUGAUUCAAACUGAUUCAAACCUUUCUAAUACUUAAAAAAUUAAACUUAUGCCACUUCUCACCUUCCUGCCUUUUAAGGCAAUUUACUUCUUCAUUCAAACUUUGUGCAAUUUUCGACAUUUUUCUAGCCUCUUUCAGCAUGAAUAAAAUUUCCUUUUAUAGAGCAUAUUCAUACUAUUUGUCCUUCAACCAAUUAAUCAAUUAUCCAACUUACAUUUCUUUCACACCCCUUCAACAGCUUUAACAUUUAUACAUUUCUCCAUGUUUUAUUAGCAGUUUAGCAUUGCUUUUUCAACUUUCAGCACUCAGCAUUUCCACGCAUUUUCUGCAAGGAAAUGCAAUUUUUCUAGUUAAGUGGAAAUGCUGACACAGCAUUUCCACUUAUUGUUAUUCUCCUGUUUCUUUAUUCAACUUAUUAUUAUUCUUCCGUACCUUUUUUGGACCGCUUCUCCUCCUUCAAACUUUGUCCGAUUUCAACCGUUCAAACUUUAAACUAUUCCACUCCUUCAGGACAUGAUAGCUAUUACUUUUCACUCUUCUACCUUUUAUACUUUUUGUUUUUUUUUUACUUUUUGUGCAAAAAUUUUAACAUUGAAGUCAAUGGGGAAAUCUUCCAUAUCUUCCUUUUAUUCUUCCACCUUCUAAGCCUUAUAACUUCAGCAUACUUUCACCUAGAGACCUCAUUUUUGCUUUAAAAUGUUCAUUAACUUGUCGGCUAUUAAUGUUGUAUUCACUUUUUUGUGCUAUCUUCUACAGUUCUUCCACAAUUUAGCUUUAAGCAACUUGUGGUUUUCAGCAAAUUUUCAGGCUUUAUAAUAGGUGUGUAUUGGAGAGUUUAGAGUGAUGAUGUCAUCAGCUAGAGUGCAGAGCUCAUCUCUGAUCGACAGAACCUCGUUCGAAUAUAUCGCUCCCACGCCCACAAAUCUCAAUCCACACCCAUAAAAAAUACGUCAAAAUGGAGGUAUAUGUGUCCUGCUUCUCACAAAAGAGGUUUCAAAUCAUUAAAUCUUACCCCUUGGCCAGCAGGUGACCAACUGUCCAAAUAGGCGGAAAUCUCUCCCCAUUAGACCUAAUGUAUUUCUUCUCCAAGAAAAUCCUUAUCCCCACUCAGGCUCAGACUUUUUUAACUCGCUGUUGUGGCCACAUUUUUCGGAGUACAGACAUGAAAAAGACAUCAUUGUGUUCAUGAAGGGCGGAGGAUUCGUACGAUGUUCUUAUUUUCAUUCUGGGACUUAAGGAAAUCGUGCUAUGUGAAGAAGUUCAGAACCCUAAAUUCACUGCAGUUCAACAGCUUCUCCAUUCAAACAGUAGGUCAGUGAUUUGCCUUUGAUCUCACAGCUGCUUAGGAUGCAAUCAUUAACGAGACACACACACACACACACACACACACACACACACAUUCUUGUACUUGUUGCUUUAUGAGGUCUACCUUGCAGUUCAGCUGCUUGUACACACAGUUAAUAUGUGUCUGCUUCGCCACCUAUCUCCACCCACAAACUUUGAGCUACAGAAACCAUUCUGGGCUUCUAAAAUUCAGCUCAUUUAAGAUAUUAUGGGGUGUUUUGAGGAUUGUGAUAAUAAAUUGUAUUAAUGUGUUUAGCAGAGUCUUGUGUUCUCACAAGCUCCUUUUCAGGAAUAGAUACAGAGGCUGAGCGUCAGGGCCUACUUGGAGUCCUGUUUCCUUAGCUUCAAGCCUUCUUUCUCCUGCUAUAGUUAUGCAUCCAAGGUCCCCAUGGCAACCAAUUUGUGCACCUGGAGACACACAGCUGACUGGAAAGCUGCUUCUAAUGGCCACAUGAGACACAUGAAGCCAGGCUCAGCACACAUAGCACUGGGGAUGACACUUAAAACCCUUUACUAGAGCGCUUGAAAAAACUUCAGCCCCUAUCUCCUCACAUGACCUUUGACCUACAGAAACCAUUCAGGGCUUUAAAAUUUAAGCUCAUUGAGGACAUUAUAGGGUGUAUUCAGAAUUUAAAUUCAUUUAAAUUUUUCAAAUUUUAAAGUCACUCAGUGAUGAUUUAUUAAUUAAUUUGUAAACUAAUUUAAACUCAUUAAAUCUUACUGAUACUUGAGGAUUUUGAAUUAUUUAAAUUUUCCCUGUUUAAAAUUAGUUUUAAUAUUUAUGCAUUAUUCCAUCAUUCAAACAAAAUCCCACCUCUAGAGCUACAACUACUGCUGAUGUCAAUUAAAUGAGUACUUUCCCCUCUACUUCAACUGUUAUUGUUCCUUUUUCUACUUUCUCUACUGCUGCUAUUGCUACUAUUUCUACUUUCUCUACUACUUUGACUCAUACUUCUUUUAUUCUAAACCUACUUCUACAGCUUACAUGACUACUAGUAUCACUACUUGACUUCUUAUCAUACUACUUCUAGUACUACAACUUAAACUUAUGCCACUUCUCACCUUCCUGCCUUUUAAGGCAAUUUCCUUCUUCAUUCAAACUUUGUGCAAUUUUAAACAUUUUUCUAGCCUCUUUCAGCAUUAAAUUAAAUUUCCUUUUAUAGCGCAUAUUCAUACUAUUUGUCCAUUAACCAAUUAAACAAUUAUACAACUUAUAUUUCUUUUUUACCCCUUCAACAGCUUUAACAUUGAUACCUUUCUCCAUGUUUUAUUAGCAGUUUAGCAUUGCUUUUUCAGCUUUCAGCACUCAGCAUUUCCACGCAUUUUCUGCAAGGAAAUGCAAUUUUUCUAGUUAAGUGGAAAUGCUGAUUAAGCAUUUCCACUUAUUGUUAUUCUCCUGUUUCUUUAUUAUUAUUAUACUUAUUAUUAUUCUUCCGUCCCUUUUUUGGACCGCUUCUCCUCCUUCAAACUUUGUGCGAUUUCAACCGUUCAAACUUUAAACUAUUCCACUCCUUCAGGACAUGAUGGCGUCUAUUUUUCACUCUUCUACCCUUUAUACUUUUUGUUAUUUUUAACUUUUUGUGCAAAAAUUUUAACAUUGAAGUCAAUGGGGAAAUCUUCAACUUCUUCCUUUCAUUCUUCCACCUUCUAGACCUUAUAACUUCAGCAUACUUUCACCUAGAGACCUCAUUUUUGCUUUAAAAUGUUCAUUCACUUGUCGACUAUUAUAGUUGUACUCAGUUUUUUGAUAUCUUUUACAGUUUUUCCACAAUUUAGCUUUAAGCAACUUGUGGUUUUCAGCAAAUUUCAAGCUUUAUAAUGGGUGUGUAUUGGAGAGUUUAGAGUGAUGAUGUCAUCAGCUAGAGUGCAGACCUCGUCUCUGAUCGACAGAACCUCGCUCGAAUAUAUCGCUCCCACGCCCACAAAUCUCACUCCACUGACACAAAUAAUACAUCAAAAUGGAGGUAUAUGUGUCCUGCUUCUCACAAAAGAGGUUUCAAAUCAUUAAAUCGUACCCUUUGGCCAGCAGGUGACCAACUGUCCAAAAAGGCAGAAAUCUCUCCCAUUGACUGUAAUGUUAUUUUUCUCCAAGAAAAUCCGGAUCAUCGCUCAGGCUCAGACUUUUUUAACUCGCUGUUGUGGCCUCAUUUUUCGAAGUACAGACAUGAAAAACACAUCAUUGUGUUCAUGAAGGACGGAGGAUUCGUACGAUGUUCUUAUUUUCAUUCUGGGACUUAAGGAAAUCGUGCUAUGUGAAGAAGUUCAGAACCUUAAAUUCACUGCAGUUCAGCAGCCUCUCCAUUCAAACAAUAGGUCAGUUCAUGGCUUUGAUCUUACAGCUGUUUAGGAUGCAAUCAUUAACGAGACACACACACACACACACACACACACACAUUCUUGUACUUGUUGCUUUGUGAGGUCUACCUUGCAGUUCAGCUGCUUGUACACACCGUUAAUAUGUGUCUGCUUCACCACCUAUCUCCACCUACAAACUUUGAGCUACAGAAACCAUUCUGGGCUUCAAAAAUUCAGCUCAUUGAAGAUAUUAUGGGGUGUUUUAAGGAUUGUGAUAAUAAAUUGUAUUAAUGUCUUCAGCAGAGUCUUGUGGUUCUCACAACCUCCUUAUCAUGAAUAUAGCUGUUACAGAGGAUGAGCAUAGUCUGGGAUUUUGUUUCUCAGCUUCAAGGCUCCUUUCUCCUGCAUCUAUGGUCCCCAUAGCAACCAAUUAGUGCACCUGGAGACACACAGCUGACUGAAAAGCUGCUUCUAACGGCCAUUUGAGGCACAUGAAGCCAGGCUCAGUAUACAGAGCACUGAGUGUUACAUUUAAAACCCUUCACCAGAGCACCUGAAAAAGAUUAAGCCCCUAUCUCCUCCCACAAACUUUGACCUAUAGAAACCAUUCAGGGCUCCAAGAAUUCGGCUCAUUGAGGACAUUAUGGGGUGUAUUUAGGAUUUUUAUUCAUUUACAUAUUUCAAUUUUUAAGGUCACUCAGUGAUGAUUCAUUAUUUAAUUUGUAAACUAAUUUAAACUCAUUCAUACCUUUCUGAUAUUUAAAAUCUUAAUGAUUCUUGAGGAUUUUUGAUUAUUUAACUUUUCCCAGUUUAAAUUAGUUUAAAUAUUUAUGCAUUAUUCCAUCCUUCAAACAAAAUCCCACCUCUAGAGCUACAACUACUGCUAAUGUCAAUUAAAGUACUUUCCCCUCUACUUCAACUGCUAUUGCUCCUAUUUCUACUUUCUCUACUACUGCUAUUGCUACUAUUUCUACUUUCUCUACUACUUUACUGAUACUUCUUUUAUUCUCAAACUACUUCUACUGCUUACAUGACUACUAGUAUCACGACUUGACUUCUCAUCAUACUACUUCUAGUACUACAACUUAAACUUAUGCCACUUCUCACCUUCCUGCCUUUUAAGGCAAUUUCCUUCUUCAUUCAAACUUGCUUGUACACACAGUUAAUAUGUGUCUGCUUCACCACCUAUCUCCACCCACAAACUUUGAGCUACAGAAACCAUUCUGGGCUUCAAAAAUUCAGCUCAUUGGAGAUAUUAUGGGGUGUUUUGAGGAUUGUGAUAAUAAAUUGUAUUAAUGUGUUCAGCAGAGUCUUGUGGCUCUCACAACCUCCUUGGCAUGAAUAUAGCUGUUACAGAGGAUGAGCAUAGUCUGGAAGUUUGUUUCUCAGCUUCAAGGCUCCUUUCUCCUGCAUCUACGGUCCCCAUAGCAACCAAUUAGUGCACCUGGAGACACACAGCUGACUGGAAAGCUGCUUCUAACAGACAUAUGAGACACAUGAAGCCAGGCUCAGUACACAGCAUAUUGGUGAUUCAUACUGCCACUGAAGUUUAACUUUGAUCAUGUGUGUGCAGUACUGUCUUUGUGUCUAUAAGAGCUACUCGCACACACACACCACUUCUAAUUGUAACAUCUCUUUUAGUAGUACUCCACUUUUACUACAUAUACUACUAACAUUUAUACCACCAGUACUUCUACCACUUCUAAAACUACUACGACCACUUAUUCGACUACAGCUACCACUUCCACUACUACUACCACCACUUCAACUACUACUACUAUGACUAGCUCUACAACUGCAACUUGUAUCCCUCUACAUCUCCUUCUAUUCUUUUUCUUUAAACAUAACUUUCUUUAUUUGAAGUAAUUACACAGACAGCAACAUGUCAGUACAAUUUGACAGAGAUCUCCACUCUAUCCUUUUCCCCAGUUUUUUAUCCCUCCCACAUCUCCUUCUAUUCUAAACCCACUAUAAGUACUAUGACAAGUACUAACGCUAAUAUGACUACUUCUAUCACUUCUACCACUAUUCAUUUUACUACUACUACUACUACUACCACUAAAACUUCUACAACUUCUUACUCAAAUCCUCCUAGGUUUUUUUUUAGGUCCUAUCAGUUGUAUUUUUGCUGUCAUUUUCACAUUCAUUAUGCUGGUAUGACAAUAAUUUUUUUGCUGUUAAUUUUUUAAUGAAUUUCUAUUUCCCACAAUGUGUGGAUUAAGUUAACCACUGUGUUAACCACCUUGUCGAGUGAAGUGUGAAAUUUCCGAGUGUCCCUGAACGCCUCAAACAUUUCUACCGGGACUCCGCCUUGGCUCGCGCUAUCCUGCUGCAUCUUACAGAAGGGUGAGUCAGAGCUGAGUCUCUGUCAACGUCUAAACGUUAAAAAAUGGGAUUUAACCUGUCAAAAUGGCACUGGUUUGAGUUAUAAUCGAUGAAGAGUUCAUUCAUGAUUGAAGUGGUCGAGAUGUUGACUUGAAAAAGCUUAUGCUAACAGUGUUAGCGUCGAGCUAGCGGAGUUAGCACCGAGCUAGCGGAGUUAGCGUCAAGCUAGCGGAGUUAGCGUCGAGCUAACGCUAAAGCUAACAUUCCGUCAUUUAUGGGGCUGAAUCAUUAGCCAGCUGAGAAAUGCACAAAAUAAUGUGAUGUGCAGUUUGUAGAGUUUACUGACAUUUGGACUGUAGGGGAUACUAAUAUUGUCAAGUAUUAACUUACUACUGAAGCUAGCGCUGUUGCUACAGGUAGUAGACAGACAGUUCAUCACUGUGACUGAGUCAUAGCUGGGGAAUUGGUCUGGGGACGUCAGCUGUUUAGCUCCUGGUCACUUUUUAUCAGCCAUUGUAGAUGUAUUAAAAUAUAGGCUGCAUUUAGCAAGCAUCCAGUUAUAACACAAAUGUGAGUGGUUUUUCUUUUUUUAUGUGUCAGAAUGACACUAGAUGGUCCUCUAUUAUUGAAGGUGUUAUUCAUGAUGGGGUUGAUAGAGAUAUUUACAUUGCAAAACAUAAAAUUAAUUCAGUAUUUAAUGUUUAACAAUACGAAGUUCCAAAUAAUAAAUAUAUUCCAGUUGAAUUUCCAUUUAGGGAUCUAUAAAGUUCUUAUCUUAAUAUUGAGUUAAUGGGUGGAUAGUUAGCUGCCUUGAAGUUGGUGAACCGACUCCUGGGCUGUCUCUGUCUCACUGGCUGCUGCUGUACCUCACAUUAUACUGUACCUAAUUUACCUUUGAUCACAAGCUGUUAAUUUGGAUAUUGGUGAUGUGCUAACACCACAGCAAAGAUAUUUUAUCUGAGGGAUAAAUACUUUAAUACAGUAUAUAUUAUGGGACAUUUUCAGCUGCAGCUAACAGCCAAGUGAUCUGUUGGAGCUGUUUAGUUUUCAAUUAGCCCAAGUACUGUAAUAAUGUUAGUUUUCUUUACAGGCCAGUUGUUUUUAGUGUGCUAUCUGUCAGAAAACACUAAUGUAUUGUUUCUUGUCUCAAACAAACAGAAGAUACAUCCACUCCAGUGCACUUGUUGGUAAGUAUAAGUGUUUUAAGCAAGACUGACAACAAACAAAAUAAGAAUAACUCGAUUAAUGUUGAGCUUAAUCCUGUUAAACAACGUGAUAUUCUAGAUAAUGUACAACAUAUGAUGCAUUUUUCAAAUACUGAGUUUAAAUUGAUAUGAAAUGUUUAUUUUUCUGUAACACUGUUGUAUAUCCUAUAUGAAAAUCAUAGAUGGGAUACAGUUUUUUCCUAGUAGAAAAUAAUGUGCUUACAAUAUUACAACAGUACUAAAUUAUUUUUUGUAAACAUUUUAAUUUGCUGGGAAAUGCUGAAUCUUGAUUUUGACAAUAAUAAAGUGGGAAAAUCAUUCAGGAAAAAUGUCUUUAAAUGAAGUGAGCUGUGAGGGAGGUUCUUUUGAGUGUGUUAAAAAUCUUUUUUCCUCCCUCUCCCCCUCCUCCUGCCUCAUCUUGUCCUUUGACCUCCUGCCCUAUCAACUCUGAAGUGUAAGUUCACACUUGUAUACUUAUUAAGCAAUCAAUUAAGUGUUGCAUUUUUGCUCUGCAGUUUAUAAUGACAUUUCACUGUUUUGUAUUUCACCUCAAUAACAUACAUAACAAAGUAAAGAGAGGGCCUUCGUGCAUUUUCUCUCCAUCUUAAACAUUUUUUACAGGCCAAGGGAGCUGCAGUAACAUCCUUUUACUAAUCAAGGGCUACCGAUUGUAGACUUUGAUAAGAAAUGAGAAAACUAAUGAUCCACACUGAAAAGCGGUGUGAUUACAGUAAACUAUGAGUUACUGAUUUUUUUUGCAACUAAAUUUAUUUACUUUUUGUCCCUGUCUUUUCUCUCCUGAACUCAACGCUAUGUCUACUGCUGGCCCUGUUCACUGUUGGCGACUCAGCUGUAAGUUCACAAAUAAAGUAACUUUAAAAUAUAUUUUUACUGUUACUUUUCACAACACAUUAUCUAAAAACCUGACCUAAAUAACACUUUAUUUUAACUAAUGCAGAAACAAAUGGAAAUAAUUUUGCUGGCUGAUCACUGUUGGAAUUACAAUGCAGUGAGAUGUGCUGGUUUUGUACAAUUAAAAUAAAAAUCUCUUGUCACUGUUUUUCCAUUUUCCUUCUUGCCAACUCUAUCCUGUCUCCAAGUGCAGACCGCUUUGUGGCGACUCGACGUAAGUUCACACAGGAAUGACAUUUUCAUGAAUAAUACAGUGUGCCUUUAUUCAACACAUUAUGGACCCCUCAUCAUGUACUAACUUGACGAUUUUUUCCCUUUGAUUAUGUAAUAUUCACAGUUGGACAUGAACAGCUUGAAUGUUAUAUGCAAUACACUUAUUUGCAUUUUAUUUCCAAUCAUUGGAAAGCAAUUUGUUACUAUUAAAUUGUGGAGUUGUAAUUUUUUUAAUGAUGAAUAUCCAAAUAGUUACUUAUCAUUGUGAUUCCUUACGUUGUGAUUACUUCGUUGGAAAACUUAAAACACAGUAAAGGAAAUUACAUUUCCUAAAAUACAUUAUUAUUUUAUUAGCAUAGUAAUCCAUUGUUAUUAUUGCUUAACAGGACAUGGUUAUGAACAUUAUAAAGGGAACUUUAGAUGAUUUCUAAGAGUCUAAAAUUUUUUUGUAAAAAAAAAUUCUUCUCUUUUUGUAAAAUACUUUGAGGUCCUAAAUUUAAAAAGCUGGCUAUGUGGUUGGAUUCAAGUUGGACUCAGUGUAGGAUGUGGUAGAGAGAUGUACGCUGAGAAGGUGGAGACUAUUUUAAAGAACAUGGAUUACCCACUUCAUAACACCUUGAUGGACCAAAGGGCCUAAGGUGGUGGACGGCUCCUCUCUCUUCGCUGCAGGACAAAAAGAUUCAGAAGGUCUUUUGUACCCACAGCCAUCAGACUUUACAAUUCUUUUAAAAAUAGUAGAUGACUUUUGGAGAUAUGACAAAUGAGACUACAAUCAAAUUUCCCUUCAGGGAAAUAAUAAAUAAAUAAUAAUAAUAAUAAAUAAUAAUUUCCCUUCAGGGAAAUAAUAAAGUUCUCCUUACCUUAAAUACAUUUUUAAUAAAAUACGAGUGUAUGAGCACUUUGGAUUUUUAGUUCUUAUUAAUUUGAUUGAUGGGUUAUCAAACAGGGCAAUUGCCAAUUCCAGGGUUUGACUCAACUUGGCUUUUGAUAGAUGUAUAGUUAAGGAUAGCCAUAUGGUGGAUUAAGUAAAAGCACAUAAUAAUGACAUUAGCUUUGGGUGGAUGUUGGUUCAUUUUGUUUCUCUUAUAAAAAAUGAUUCAUGUUUGUUUUCAUUGUGUCUUACAGGUAUCGUGUCCAGUCUCCCCACUCUCCCCUAUCUUUUUGGCCGCUCUGACUUUCCUGUCUCCUCCACCUCUCUGUCUUAUUGAAAAGCCACUCUAUCUUGUGUCCCCCUUUUCUCUAUCCCUCUAGCUAAAUUUUGGACGCUCUGACUUUCCUGUCUCCUCUACCGCUCUAUCUAAUUGAAAAGCCACUCUAUCUUGUGUCCCCCUUUUCUCUAUCCCUCUGACUAAGUUUGGUUACUCUGACUUUCCUGUCUCCUCUACCGCUCUAUCUGAUUGAUCAGCUUUUCAGAAACCAUUGUGACAAGCCUUUCAGAAACCAUUGUGACAAGCUUUUCAGAAACCAGUGUACCAGAAACCUCUGAGAAACCAGUGUACCAGAAACCUCUGAGAAACCAGUGUACCAGAAACCUCUGAGAAACCAGUGUACUAGAAACCUUUCAGAAACCAGUGUACCAGAAACCUCUGAGAAACCAGUGUACCAGAAACCUCUGAGAAACCAGUGUACCAGAAACCUCUGAGAAACCUAUUGAAGCAAGCUACCUUUUUUUGAGCAACCAUUGAAACAACCUACCUUUGAGAAACCUAUUGAAACAAGCUACCUUAUUUUGAGAAACCAAACUUUUGAAAAGCUGUACAUUUAAUACAACCACUGUUUUGAAAAAUCCCCAAUUUUGCAAAAGUCUGACUGUUGUUCUAGGUCCUCCUUUCCUGUCUGUGGAUCCAGAGUUUCACCGGAAGUGUCAUCAGCACAACCACAUCUGCAUCCCUGAUUUUGAAAGAAAAAAAAAAAGUUCCAUAUAGAAUAUUUGAGUUAGAUAUUAUUUCAAGCACAAAGCGCUAAGAUUUAAAAAUUGUUGUUGAUUUGUGUUUUUUCUGAAAACAUUUAUAUAGUCUUGUGUAGGAUUUCCUUAUAAAACAUUUGAUAAACUAUUGUGGUAUACACAUAGUUAUAAAUUAGAAUUUUGGAGACUAUAAGAGCUGUUAAAUAACGUCCUCUUGAAGAAAUAAAGCAUUUUUGUCUUUACUGGUGCUUAUCAGUAAUUUAAUUGUUGCAUAAACACAUUGUUG